RNAcentral lists this long non-coding RNA (79019 nucleotides) under Prunus persica (peach). RNAcentral describes it as "long non-coding RNA (PPER_LNC001496)". The record is from RNAcentral. Lineage: Eukaryota; Viridiplantae; Streptophyta; Magnoliopsida; Rosales; Rosaceae.
CUGAAGAAGUUGGCAGGUGACAAAGUCGUUGUGUGUCAUAAGCAGAACUAUCCCUAUGCUGUGUUUUUCUGCCAUGCAAUAAAACAUACAGCAGCUUAUGCUCUCUCCCUGAAAGGCGAUGAUGGGGAGAAGGUUAAAGCAGUAACCAUCUGCCAUCUAGACACAUCAGAAUGGGACCCAGAGCAUAUGUCCUUCCAAAUCGUCAACGUUAAGCCCGGAACCAUUCCCAUCUGCCAUUUCAUUUCCACUGAUGCUAUUGCCUGGGUUCCGAACCACAAAUCUGCAUGAUCAUCACUUAGCACUGUACGUAUAAUUAUCUCCUUACUUAUUUCUGCCUCUUCAUCAUGUGGUGUAAGAUAUAUGAUGAGAUGAAGUUUUUGGGAUUAGUGGUUGGGUUGCCUGAAAAACACAGAUUACAGAAACUGCUUGAAAUUAACCCGAUCAUGUUUUCUCUUGUAACUAUAUAGACUUCAACUUGUACUCAUAAUAAAGCAUGCUAUAUUUAUGAAGAGAUAUUAAUCUAUAUAUAUUUUUUAUAUAUGCUUUGGCUUUGUGGUUCUACCCAAUGUUUGAGUGUUGAAUUGUUACGUUGGAAUAGGCUGCUAAUGCAUGUAGUUAGAGAAGCCUUCAUUUAUAUCAAAGUCCUCAAACUAUCAAGAACUAAUGUAUCCAGAAACAUAUACCAAGACGCAAAACAACAUAUUUUCCAUGCUCUGUCUGUAACACCAAAGCAAACUUCCUUGAUCACAAAAGGAUCAAAUUCCAGUACUAAUCUAAUCCAUCAUGUAAAGCAUACAAGUGCCUCCCUAAAUACUAUACUCUUUUUGUUAUUUCCUACUAUACUAUUUAAGUUUGCAUACUCAUAUAGCAUAUGCAAACACAAUUAGAAAUUCUACAAGAUACAAACAACCCCCUCAACUUUGACCAGUGUGUCAAUUUAGUUCUUGAAAUUUAGAUUACAAAGCAAAAUCAAAUCAUACCAUGAAACACAAGCGACUUAAACCUCCAGGCAAAUAGAUAUUAUGAACAUAUAUAGCAAUUUAUAGAACAAUACAUUAAUCCAGAAGAAAUAUUAUGAAAUGAAAAGAAUAAAAAGUAGAAAAACACAAGGAAAGGAAUUUGCACCUGCUCACUUGCAGAUUGCUUUCUCCGGCCGUAGAUGUAACAGAAAUUUUCUCUUAAUAAUACCACAAUGAUCGGGUAAUUGUAAGAACAAGUUGAUUUAAAAUUCCUUGACCCAAAAAAAAAAAAAGUUGAUUUAAAAUUCAGGUCAACCCAUAGAUUUCUCCCCUUUUUCUUCUUCAUCUCGUGGGGCUUGUCUUCUUCUUGAGGAUUGUAUAGGCCAAGGAAAUGCUUUGAGUUAGUUUUUACGCUUUUGCGUUUUGGGCCUUGGAAGUUGGGACCCAAACCAACUUCACAAAAAGAAAACGCUCAGACUAUAAUGAAUGGAAAGUUAUAAGGGGUAAGUUAUAAGGGGUUCACUUUAUAGCCAUCAGAUCAAUCCAAGGGCUGGGGAGAAUUGAGAUAAAGUUUUAAAAUCGGGUAGGUGAGGAACCCAAACCCGAAUUGAAUAUCCAGCACGUCCGAAAAAGAAGAAGAAGAGGCAAGCACGUCCGAAAAAGAAGAAGAAGAGGCAAGUUCGAAGUUUGAACAGAAAAAACUCAUCUCUUUAAAACCCAUAGCUCUGAGAAACGGUUGAAGGCAACGGUUAACGACGGUUAAAGGCAACGGUUGAAGCCACUCCGUUCUCCAGACCCUGAAAAAGUAUUUAUUUUGAGUAGAAGGGGCAAAGGUGUGGAUUCCGAAACAGUGAAGGGGCGAAGCAGUGGAAGGGGGAGGAGAGAAGCCGUAUUCGUUGGAAGUGGUAGGUUCCAUUUGUGGAGCAAAGCAACACAAAGACCCCGCACAGACACCUUGCGAUUGUUCAAUAACCAGCAUUUGGUGAGUAAUUUAUGGAAUUUGAGUUUAGGGUUAGAGUAAUGGUUUUCCCCAAUUUGUACCAUCAAUUUUGUUGGAUUUGGCAUCUCUUCUUUGUGCUUCAGUUGCAUGUUAAUUUUUGCUUGGGUAUAUGUUAAAAAAAGAAUGAAAAUCAAGUCAAUAACAAGUGAAUAACAUGUCAAUAAUGAUAUGAAUAAGAUAAUGGUGUUGAAUUGGAGGAGGCCCUCAAAACAUUCCACAUUUGAAGCAGUGCAUAGUGCAGAUUAUCUCUCUGGCGCUAGAAUAUAUAUAUAUUUUGAAAUAAAUAUGAUUUCCUUUGUUACUAAAUUUGCCUGAGAAACAUGAGAACAGAUAAUAAUAAACUCAUGAAUAGAAGUGCAAAGCAUUUGAUGAGUAAUUUAUGGAAUUUGAGUUUAGGGUUAGAGUAACGGUUUUUCCCAAUUUGUACCAUCAAUGUUGUUGGAUUUGGCAUCUCUUCUUUGUGCUUCAAUUGCAUGUUAAUUUUUACUUGGGUAUAUGUUAAAAAACAAAUAAAAAUCAAGUCAAUCACAUGUCAAUAACAUCUCAAUAACAUGUUAGUAAUGAUAUGAAUAAGAUAUAAUGGUGUUGAAUUGGAGGAGGCCCUCAAAACCUUCCACAUUUGAAGCAGUGCAGAGUACCUCUCUGGCACUAGAAUUUAUAUAUUUUUUUAAAUAAAUAUUAUUUCAUUUGUUACUAAAUUUGCCUAUGAGAAAUGAGAACAGAUAAUAAUAAACUCAUGAAUAAAAGUGCAAAGCAUUUGAAAUAAAGGUUGAUCUAUGACAAUUGUGGCUGACAGAAGAAAAAGCUAGAAAGAAAGAAGGAUGUGGCAAUUGCUUAGCAAGCAGAUAGCAGAGUAGAUGCUUUGCUUUGCUUCCUUCCACUAUAUUAUUUAUUUAUUUAUUUUGUGUUGUGUAUGAGAUGACAAUAAUUGUCAUGUGUGUGAAGUGCAGAACUUGCCUAGAUUGCACUCACACUCACUCAUGCAUCAACCAUUGAUUCGAAUUUGGAUCCAUGAAUAAAACACAUGAAAUUGUUUGUAAUUCACAUAAUCAUUGCAUUAACAGGUAUUUGCACAAAAUUUUUCAUAUUGCUUUGAUGAUGUUAAAGCCUGUGAUCAGUAAUCCCUAUGCUUAUGUACUUUGUAAAAUUUGUAAUGUGCCUGGUUGACUAGUUGUGUAAAUACCAAUGUGAUUGUGCAAAUACGUGGUAGUAUAUGUGUUCAUGUUAUUUCAUCUUGUAUUUCAGGAAAUGGGAUCCAAUGUGGAGCUGGUAUGGCCAGAGUCAGAGGCAUAUUCGUCACGGGUGAACAACUGCUCACAUGCAAAUUCAUCUCUAGCUGCAAUUCGAGCGAAGUUGAGUGCGGAACAAUUAGAACAAUUCAAGACAUCAUGCUUUGGCCAUCUUCUGAAUAUAGAUAAGAUUCAGUUUAGCGGGCAGAUUGUGCAUGGGGUUGUGUUGCGUAGAGUAGCGGGGCAGGGUGUGAAAGACUUGGAUGGACUGAGUUUCUUAAUAGGGUGUGACGUUGCUCAGUUCACUCGUCAAGAUUUCUGUUUGAUCACAGGGCUUCGUUUUGGGGAAGUGCCUGAAGUUUCCAGUGGAGAGAGUGAUGAAAUUAGACUUCAGAAAAGAUAUUUUAUAGACGAAUGAAUUACAUGCAAUGCUUUAGAAUAAACAUUUUUGAGGUGCACAGAGGAAGAUGACAUCUACAAGCUAGCUCUUGUUUACUUUGCUGAGUUAGUGGUUUUGGGAAGGGACAAACAUUUGAACAUCAAUCUAAAUUACCUGACCCUUGUAGAGGACUUAGAUGCGUUCAACAGGUAUCCGUGGGGUUCGGUGUCCUUUGACAAAACCAAAGACAGUCUAUUUUCUGCACCAACAAAGUAUGUGAAAAGCUUUGAAAAUGAAGAGGGAAGAGGGAAGGGGAAAAGUAAGGUAACAGGAACAAGCCGGAGAAAUGAAAAGGGCAAGAAGGAUAAGCAUGGUGAAGUGCAAAGGGGUGGUUGGAGUUUUAAAGGUUUCACGUAUGCUUUCCAGGUACAUGGUAAUAAUGUUCAUGUCAGUUAUGUCUUGUUUUUCUUUAAAACUUAAAUAAUGACUUUUGUCCUGUGAAUUGUGUAGAUUUGGGUAUAUGAAUUAAUUGCUAGAAUGGCAGACCUGAAUUACUGCAAGGUUGUUGAUCCGACAGCUGUCCCGCGUAUUUUGCGAUGGAGAACUACUACGUCUGUUCCUGAGAUGAGAAAGUUGAACAAUUAUUUUUUCCAGAGCAAAGAGGUUUGGUUUGCAGCCCUUAGAACUAUUUAUAAGAUUUAAUGAAAUUAUGAAGUAGAAUGAUUGAAUAUGACUCUUGUCUGUAUUCUGAAACAGUCAGUUCAGUUGCGGGCGCUAUGUCCGAGUGAAGAGGAAAUGAGACAACCAUAUUGGAGUUGGCCACAGGAUCGCCCUGCUGUUGUCUCGGCAGAGUCAAUUCCUUCUUCAUGUGCUGACCUUGAUGAGUUGAACAAGGUGGUAAGCUUGUUGAGGUCCGAGUUGUUUCAAGUAAAGUUGGAAAAAGACGUCCUUGAGUUAAAGGUCAUACGGAUGGAAAAACUUUUGGACCACUGUUUAGGUCCUCAAUUUGAGCAGGAAGUAAGGAGGGACCUAGCUUUACUGAAAGAGAGGACGAAUCUUUGUGUCAUCUCACAUCUAUUUAAGGGAAGUGAGGAAAUGGAUGACAUUCAAUGGGAUGAAGGGCCAAGUAACAGAAAUGAGGGAGAGGAAAAGGAAGAUGAAGGGAUUGAAGGGGGUGAAGGGCCAAGUAAUAGAAUUGAGGGAGAGGAAAAGGAAGAGGAGGGGAUUGAAGGGGGUGAAGUGCAAGGAAAACCAAGUGAGGUAGAGGAAGCUCAAAGGAAAAGAAGUGAAGGAGAGCAAGUGAAAAUAAAAAGCAGUAAGGGAGAGAAAACGCAAAGAAAGAGCAGUGAGGGAGAGGAAGUGAAAAGAAAAAGCAGUAAGGGAGAGGAACUGCAAAGGAAAAGCAGUGAGGGAGAUGAUCCGCAAAGAAAAAGAAGGGAGGGCAAGGAAGUGAAAAGACAAAGAAGUGAGGAAAAGGAAGUGUAAAGAAACCAAUGUGAGAAAGAAGAUAAUGAAGUUAUGUUGCUUGGCGAUGACAUUGGCGAGAGCACAGAGGGGACAAAGGUUGAGUUUAGUCUCGGGGACAUUGAUUUGGAUCAACCUACAGCUGUGCUAUCUCAGUUGAAUGUUUGGUUGAAUGAUAAAGGUAAAGCUGUGGAACAAGGGGUCCAAUUACGGAAGAGGAAGAUGAUCAUUCCUAUGUGGAAGAUCAUUGAAGGUAGUGAAUUGGUUUCAAAAACUUUGGCAGAGACAACCGGACUUCAGAUGUUAGACCCAACGAAGGCGAUUCUGUAUGAUGAUCUGGUGAAAUUGCUGAAACUUUGUUGGGAAUGGCGCCAUAACCCAAAGUAAGUCCCUUGUUUUUUGAGAUAAAAGGCAUGAGUGUAUAUAUUUUUUAAUUGUUGUGUUCUAAAACUUUUUUAUAUUCAUAGUUUGGUGAUGCAAUUUGGCAACAUGGAAGCUGAGAUUGAAUUCUUCGCUUCCCUCAUCAAAGCUGAUGGUUGGCUGAAAGGAGAUGUAAGUUUAAUUGAUUAUGCAUUUGUUUUAAUGUACAUAGAUUAUGAGAUUGACAAGAAAAACAUGUUGCAGCACAUUGAUUUGGGGUUGUAUCUCAUCCGGAAGCGACAACAAGAGUUGGAGGAAGUAGAAAUAUCGGACUGGACAAUGACCGAUGUAUUUUUUAUGGUAUGUCAUGGGCCUUGACCAAGUGCUGUUAAUAAUUACAAAUUAUCCAUACUUGUUUUGUGGAGGUGUUUAACCAUUGAUUGUUUUCUAUUUCACAGAAUCACAUUCGUACUUGCUUUGCGGAUAAUAAAAGAAAAAAAGAGCAGGUUUGGUGGAAAAUUAGAAACAGUUUACUGAACGUUGUAAAUGGCAAGGUUCCGGCGUGUGAGAUGGAUUGGCAGAACAUAUAUAAGGUGUAUGCCCCUUGUAUGUUGACGAAGUACAAGCAUUGGGUGGCUGUAAUGAUUGAUCUAGUUUUGUGUGAAAUCCAAGUGUACGAUUCAAAGGUUUCACUUAUUCCAGAUGAGAUCUUAAAGGAAGAACUCGCCCCGCUUUCAAUUACGAUUCCAAAUCUUCUCAACACCAUCGACUUUUAUGAAGAAGGUGUUUACGUAAACAAUUGCAGCCGAGAUUGGUGGUGUCCGUGGCCAAUAGAGCGUGUGGAUGUUCCACAACAGUCUAAUCAGUAAGCACAACUUUUUAUUUAAUUUUAUUACUUUAAAUUGUCAAUUACGUUAGAAUGUCAUUAGUUGAAUUGAUCGAGUUCUUGUUUUGCUUCAGAGGCGAUUGUGGCAUGUUCGUGUUGAAGUACAUUGAGCUUUUGGGCGCUGAGAUUCCGUUAGCUACUUGCACCUCGGAGAACAUGCCCUUUUUUCGGUUGAAAUUGGCUGCAAAGAUAACACGGGGAGAUGCUUACAUGCCAUGAUAUUGGUUGAACUUGGUUUAGGUACAUGAUGAUUAAAUAGGUUUUGGGAAUGUCCAAUUUCAAACUCAUGUAAAUACACAAUAGAGACCUACGGGUCCUUUUCGAAUUCUACCUCUGCUCCUCUAUUCUUCUUCGUCUUUCUCAAUCUUAGUGUAUUUUUGUACAUAAUUUGAGGUUUAAGUUAUUGGACGAUAACAAUUAGAACCAAAAUAGUGGCAAAUAUUAUAGCGGAUGCAUGCUUUCAUUUUGAUUAGUGUGAUACUACGCUACAUUUAUUCUCAUAUUGUGCUAAAUGUAUAUGGAGUUGGAUGCAGAGCAUAGACAGAAAAAUGAAGAAACUGAAAUGGAGAUGCUGAGGCUUGGUGAGGAGAAAAGUAAAUGGAUCUGUAAAUCUAUUGCACGUAGGCAAUCUAAAUGGAUAGGCAGAUGAGUUUUUGAAGUUAGACACUUGUCAUUCCCAUACAUAGAAUGUGCCUAUGGAGUGUAAAGUAUUUUUGGAUUUAAUGAAACAAACUUCUGUGUAAUAUUAGCCUAACUCCUUCACGACAUUUACAUAACCUUAACCAACUGCAUUGAAUUGGGAUUUAAAGACUGCAUAUGUGAAUUGGGAUUUGAAGAUGGCUUUUUAAGUGUAUUACAUCAUUGCAAAGUGAUAUGUCAUCGUUUAUGCAAGCCACCAUUAAUCGCAAUAGGUUGCAUCUUAAUAAGGUAAUUCUGUAAGGGGAAUAAGCGGCUAUGGCCUCGCCUCUAAUGUUUUAUUCAACCAUGCCCUCUUUAUAGAAACACAUGAAAAAAUGUCCCCAGGUGCAAUGCUAUAAAAACUUCCAGUUGGUUCUGUACCGCCCCUCGGGUUUGAAUCCCUCUCUCCUUUAUAAUCGGUUAAUAAAUUCAUUGAUUUUCUUUUUUUUAUUGGUUUUGGGCAGCUCAGUAGCAUAAAAGUAAUGUAUAUUGGUGCGUCUAUAUUGCAUGUCUGUUGCGUCUAUAUUGCUUCUCUAUUGUGUGUAUAUCUUACAUUUAUUGUAUGUGUAUUGAUUGUUUAUUGCUUACGAAGGAAAUAAACAACAAUACACAGGCAACAGACAAACAAUAUAUACACAACAGACAAACAAUAUACACACAAUAGAUACGCAAUAUACAUACAAUAGACAUGCAAUAUACACACAAUAGACAUGCAAUAUACAUCCGUCCCCAAUUACACAAACCAUAAGGAAGUCGUAUUGAAUAGGAAAUUAAACUUAACAGUUGUUCUUCCUACUAAAAGAAAGAAUAAGGUCCGUUUUCCCCCUUAAAUCUUACUUGAGUGGUACUUGUGCCCCCAAUAAACAUCCAAUAUUGGAGCAAUAACAUUCGAUAUACAUGCAGCAAACAAUCAAUAAACCUUUAAUAAACAUUCAAUAUCGGUUCAAUAACAUGCGAAAUACAUGCAGUUAAUAAUCAAUAAACCUUCAAUAAACAUGUAAACAAUCAAUAAACUUUCAAUAAACAUUCAAUAUCGGAGCAAUAACAUGCGAAAUACAUACAGUAAACAAUCAAUAAACCUUCAAUAAACAUUCAAUAUCAUGCGAUUUAUAUGCAGUAAACAAUCAAUAAACUUUAAGUAUACGCAAAUAAACAAUCUAUAUACACUAAAUAAUUAUGCAAUUUUCAAAAAAAAAAAUGUAUUGUCUUGUUAUUGCAUCGUAUUGGCCCUGUAUUGUGAUUUUAUCGUCUUCGUAUGAUUUUAUUUUUUUAAAGUAAGUCUUGGAAAGUUUUUGCUGGGUUUCAAACAAAUAAAUGCUUUUGUUUAAAUUCAAUGCCAAUCCACUUAUUUCAAGAACAAAAAUUACAAAAUGGGUUUGAAAACUCAUUGGUGGUGCGUGCAACAUGUCUUUUUGGGGAGAAAUUUCACAAUCCUUGAAACCGUGCACUUAAUUGAUCAUUAAAAGAACAAAUAAUAUGACAAUUGAUACAACUAAUAAAACUAAUACCAAGUCCUUAAUGGACUUCAGCAUAUUCAGCACUGUAGCAUCAUACGUGUCAUCUUGAUGUUCUGCUUCAGCGGAGGUUACAUCAACCCAUUCGAAUCCAUUGCAACUGGUGGAUCCCUAAUUGCAGGCAUCAUAUAUGCAAAAUAAUUCUGUCAGAGUUAGACAUAGGUUUUUUUUCCCCCACACACAUAUUCUUGAAAUGAAAACUUACAUAGGAGGUUAGACACUUCCAAAAUGGCUUCCCUCGAUUUUUAUCUGAUUUUGAAACCCGAACCACCAUUGUAGCUCCACAAUACUGACACCUUUUUGUUUGAGCAGGAGAUGAAGACGAAGACAUGUUGAAUCUUCUCACUUGUACCUCUUCUCACUCAGAUCUUCUCACUGAAACCUCUUCGGACUCAUACCUUCUCACUCAUAGUUCUCAGUCAUACCCCUUCACUCAUAACCCUAAAUUUCUCACUCAGCUCUCUCUCAUCUCUGCCCAAAUCAAAUUAUAUCCUUCUUUGCUGUGUGUGGGUGGGUUGGUCACGAUCUGGACACCUGUACCGUCAGAAUUGUGACAUCUUUUACCCCGAAAAGCAAUAUAAUAUUUCACUACCAAAUAUUAAUCUGAAAAUUGAGGGGACACUGCUUGAAAUAUAUUAUUUUAUUUAUAUUUCAUUAAGACAACUAGUUGGAUAAGAAUCCAUCAUCAUUGGUUUCAUUUUAAUAACAUUACUAGUGGUAGUUUGGUGUGGGAAAAUGAAAAAGUAUAUGAUGGGACCUUCUGUGACUAGUCAGUAAUCCAUCACAUUUGUAUCAAUGAAUUUGAUGGUGGGAAAAUCCUAAAAAUGGCUAUGCAAAUAGGUUAUUAAUUGAAUUUUUGACUGUCUGACUCUCUAUGCAAUUUUAUGACGUUUUCCCUUCUUUUGUCUCGAGUUUUAGGGUGUCGGGUUCAGUUUCUUUAAAAACGGUCAACUUGGAAAAACCCCAAGUGGAAACACCUUUUAAAAACACUAUAAACAGAGGCUAAAACAAAACCAAAACCCCAUAUAUUCUCAUUUCUGCCCUCUUCCACUCCUCAAAUCGUUCCAUUCCAAAAACAUUUCAAUGAAUUCGAAACAUUUCACUACACUCGGAGGAAAGAGAAGGAAGCAUCUCCAUUUGGAUAUGCCCCAAGCCUUCAUCCCGGAGUUAGCUUGGUUUAAAGUGAUGUUAUACGUGGCAACCCAAUCAUCGGAAGAUCUCUUCCGUAUGGCAUCUGUGUGCCCAUUGUUCCAUACUUUGGCAAACACUCCACAAGUGUGGAACACCAUUUCAGUGGCAAAGUACCCAAACCAUCCUAGCUGGUACCGUGCCAAUCCUGCGGUCCAGCAUUUCUUGCAACAAUGCAGGGCUUGCGAUAACCCUAAGUCGAUAUUUAGAGAAGCAUUCGAAGUGUUUUUUAAGCAGGGUAACGUGGAAGCAUUGUAUGGGAUGCGCAUUACAGCCACGGCAGGCCAUAUAGAAGCGGCAUAUCUAGUUGGACUACUUGACAUGUCCGGAAUUGGUCAGUCAAAAGAGGAUGCAUUAGAAUUCUUGUGUUCUUUGAAUCAAUGUAACAACAUUGAUAUGAAAGGAACCAGGGAUGCUUUGAGACAAAGAUUAAGCCGACCAACAGUUGCAAGACAUAUCCUAGAUAUGUUUGACUAUGGGAAGAUUAAGUUCAAUCACUGCAGCCCUUGUAACAACAAUGAAUGGUGUUUUGUUAUUCAAGGCUGGCCUACUGAAGAAAAGAUAAAUCCUGCCUUCUGGACUUGUUGCAAUCGAUGCAAAUGGCACCGUGAGAGUAUUUUUUGGUUCAAGGUGAUGCGUGUGUAUGUUGUGCGAGGGAAUCCAUACCCUUAUAAUUAGUUGUAGUAUGUUUUUACGGUUUUUAUGCAUUGUGGACUUGCUUCUCUUCAGUUCUAGGUUCGCUGGCUACGUUGUACAAAUGUUGUUUAAAUGUGGGGUUUUAAUCUAUUUUGUCUGGUAUUUGUGCUGUCAUAAACCGUUUUAUAUAUAAAUGUAUAAUAUAUAUUAUAUAGCGGAAUUAUUACUGACAUCAUAGACGGCUACGAAUGACAUUUUACUGACACAGAUAUUUUGCACAACUGCAAUCUUAAUAUUUGGUAAACGAAAAGGCAUGCAUGGAGUAAAUAGGUGUCUUUUCACCAGUGCUUGGGAAUGACAUUUUCCCACUGAGCAUAUCCCAAAUGAUUUGGUUACAAGUUUCUUAAGCAAAACUUGAAUAGUGAAUGACGUUGAAUAAUUUUUUCCUAAUGUUGUAGAAUAGAUGACUUGUAUAUUUCCAUUUUAUUUUUCAAAACAUCCCUUAAACCUAAAAAAUAAAAAAAUUAACAAAUUGAAGAAGAGAGAAACCGAUUAGCACCAGAAAUGGCCUAUUCGCACGGAAAAUAAAAAUUAAAAAAAAAAGUUGGAGUAAAUAUAAUUAACAAAUGGACAGGCUAAAAAGUAAUAUAAUAAUAAUAAAAAUAAUUUAGGAUAAUAAUAAAAUACUAAUGUAACAUAACCAUGAAACAGGGAAUUCAGUAGGAAGAUGAAAUCUCAAUAAGUUCGUAGCAAUUUUCGAAACAUUAUUGGGAUUUUUGUGUAUUUAGUUAUGAAUUUUCCAAGAAAAAGUAAUAAAAUAAUAAUUUAGGGUAAAAUGCAAGGAUGUGGCCAUGUUGACUGACGUACACUUGUGCAAGUGAUGAAAGUUGACGGGCUGAGAUCGUGCCAGGUGUCCUCUUGCAAUUAUUUUGGCUUUUUUAGUGCAAAAAUCUUUGAAAAAAGGUAAUAAAUAGUAGGUCUUGUGACGUUAUAAAACUAGGGGAACCUAUAAAUCAUCCGUCUCGCAAUGAAAAAAUCCAAAUUAUUUUAGAUAACUCACUUUCCUCUUAACCCUAAGUAUUUAUGUUUGUUAACUUUAACUUCAAUAACCUACUUGAACAAUCAUCUCCCGUUAAUGUUCGGAAUUAUUUUUUUAAAAUGUGUAACCAUGUAUCGGGGAAUUCAACAAGGGAGAUUGAGUGUCAAUGAGUUCGUAGCAAUUUUCGGAUCAUUUUUCUAAUUUUUGUGUAUUUAGUUAUGAAUUUUCUAAGAAAAAGUAAUAAAAUAAUAAUUUAGGGUAAAAGGCAAGGAUGUGGCCAUGUUGACUGACGUACACUAGUGCAAGUGGUGAAAGGUGAUGGGCUGAGAUCGCGCCAGGUGUCCUCUUGCAAUUAUUUUGACUUUUUUAGUGCAAAAAUCUUUGAAAAAAGGUAAUAAAUAGUAGGAAAAUCCUAAAAAUGCCCCGAAAAUUACUCGGACCUCCUUGUGAUGUUAUAAAACUAGAGGAACCUAUAAAUCAUCCGUUUCGCAAUGAAAAAAUCCAAAUUAUUUUUACAUAACUCACUUUCCUCUUAACCCUAAGUAUAUAUUUUUGUUCACUUUAACAAUUAUAUUUCCUUAAUAUUCGUUAUAUAAUUUGUAAUAAUACAAGAAUUAGUUUCCUUUCAUAUAUAAGGAUGUAAAAUAAUUUGUUUUGUUAUAAUAAUGUACAUAUAUAAUAAUUGCACAUGCUUUGAAGCCAUCAUUGCAACUACGCCUAGAGCUUUGAACACGUCAGAGGUAUUCAAUAAGUUGUCCAUAUGACGCCGCAUUGGGAAUCAGUAAUAUAUUUUCUAUCAUGUCCAAUCACAUAAAAUAAUGCCAUACUUUUUCUGAAAAACCUCACACAAGUCAAGCAAUUUUAAAAUAUUAGUGAAUAUUUGUCCUAGUCUAUAUGAGUGAUUAUAUAUUCAGUCUGCAUUUUUUCACAGUAUAUGUUAACUUUCAGAGGGAUUCCACAAACAUAUAAUAUAAAGAAAGAAAGAAAUAGUAGGAGAUGAACCAGUACAAAAAACAAUAUAUAAAUGGUACAUAAUAAUUCCAUAACCUUGUCACAAACGCACUCACAAAUGCUUUUCCAUAAACCUUGUCCUAACAUAUAAUAAAUAAAGGCAACAUUGCAUAUGAUGCAACCAUGUCCAAAUCUGAUACGUGAUCACAAAAAAAUGGACAUGGCAGCAACAUAUGACUGAAGUAGAUGAGCUCUUUGCAUCUUGUGUUAUCGUAAUUAAAGACAUCAAAAGAUUAAGGUUGAAAUCUUCCAUAGUAGUAAGCAUCAAAAUAGGUUUGAAGCAGAGUUUAACGAAAAUUCCAAUUCCACUUAUUGGCCUCUGCUCAAACACGAGAACCAAAAUGGUUACUUCCCUUGCUGAGUAUAUUUGUUAACGUCGGAAACAGUAACAGAUGACCAAUCAAACCCGGGUACGACGAGUUUUGCAUAGGAUCGGAAGUAGUCGAAUCCAGCUUGCAUCACACGCUUCUUUGACUCCACUGCAUUAGAUGAGUUCUUGUAUUUUUGAACAGCUACACUCCGAAGUCGUUUGUGUCUACGCUUCAUGCACUGCAAAUUCGCCCUAUCCAGAUUGGCCUGCCUUUUGUCAUCUUCAAUUUGGCCUUCAACAAAUUCCAAACGUGCCCUUGGCCUUUGGAUUUCAUCACCAAGUUGAAGAUGCCUCUCCUUCCAAAAAGCAAGAACUCUUUCAGAUUCAAAACUUCCAACAAAAUGGUCAUUCUGUCUAGGAAUGUGACAUUGCUUGUCUAGUGACUCACUUGCGUUUCGAAGGCAGUCUUUGUUUGGAGGGGUGUUUAUUAUGCUCACAUCAAACUUGGUUAGUAAAUCCAUUUUAUGGGGGGAGUGAGUUUCUAUGGAGGAGAGAGUUUUAGUAGAUGGAGACAGAUUCGGUGAAGGAGUGAGUUUUGUGUGGAGGGAGAAUUUCUAUGAAAGGAGUGAUAGUAAUAGCAAUAAAAGGGUUCCCGCCAAAAAAUAUUUGGUUGACAAUGUAUAAAUUAAUUUUUGGUCUGAUACAAUCUAAGUUUAAUCCUAACUAGUUUGGUUGAGUUCACUAACUAGAUGUCACUUCCAUUGAGUUUCUUUCAACCACUAUCAGUGGUGUAAGGAGAGUGUGAGGUUGACAUGCUUGAAAAGCAAAACCUGACACCUCUUUUUUUAAAAAUUGAAAGAAAGUACAUAUGUUGACUACACACAACCUUUGGUAUGUUGGUCUAUAAACCUAUGUUCCCUUUCUCAAAUGAAAUUGCAUAUGCAAUCCUCAUCCUCCCAAAACAAAUAGGAUUAUUCAAGCAUGUCAACCUCUUCAGGCGCCAACAACACAAUCGAAGAUGACAAAUUGGAGUCGCAGGUUCUAUUUCCACAUUGUACUCACCGACCCCUUCCUUUUUCAACAUCAUUUGGGAGUGAGGGGGACUCCGAUGAUCCAUUAGAGGCAAUACAUGCAGUCAGUAGCAAGCUGGAUUAUAAUUCCAAACUGAUCAAUUCAUGGCACGAGAAAUGUGUUGAAGACGAGGCCAUUUUGGCUGAUCUUAACAUUAGAGUGAACAAAGGGUUCUCCCAAAAGAACAAGUACUUGAAGCUGAGUCAUAAAAGGAAGCUGAAAGCUGAGGAGUUGGAUACAGUAAUAAAUGAUGAAAUUAAAGGUUGUUUGAUGAACCAUAUGCGAUGCAAAGAGCAUCAUAGUGAACUGGAGUUGGCAUUCAACGAAGGAUUUUUAAAAUUUCAAGCAUUUGCGGCAACUACUCAUACAAGUUAUAAUUGGGACUAUGUGUCCCCUGAUGCUGUGAGAGAGAUACUAGACGAUGAUGGUGACAUGAAUGAGCAUAAGCACGUCAAAGCUGCUCGGAAGAAGCCGACCGAUACGACUAAGUGAUUGCGGCUACCGUUGUUCAGUUGGUUGAGGGUGAUCAUGGUAUUGCACAAAUUAGAAGUAUAUUCCCUUAAUGUCAUUAUCUAAUUUAAAAUAACACAAAUAUCAGUUUCAUUUGCUUCAUAUAUAAUUAUUGGGACUAUGUAUUGCAAGUCAUCAUGUGUUCCUUCUGUCUAACAUUAUAUUUUGCAAAUAUCGAAAUAUUAUUCAAUAAGCAGUCAAUAUCACAGCAAGUUGGGAAUCAGUAAACCCCCAUUAUCAUGUACAUUCACAUUAAAGAGCUGGUGUACUUUUUCUCAAAAAACUGACACGUGAGUCAUAAGUAACAUAACAUGUGCUAUACAUUGUUUAGUGAAUGGUUUAUGAUUUAUUUAUAUAUAAUAAAAUUCCAAAUAUUGCUGAAUAUUUAUUUCGUCUAUAUCACUGGGGACAUGAGUGAACAUACGCAUGUGAGACCUGCUAAGAAGAAGCUGACCAAUACGACCGAGGGAUUGUGGCUACCAUUGUUCCGUUGGUUGGGGAGAUCGUGGUAUUGCUAAGAGGGAGCACAUAAUAUGUUUUGCAAUCAAAUUUUCUUUUGUGUGUGGAAUUUUCUUUUAUGUGUGGAAUUAUGAGUAGUUCAAAUGUUAGUGUACCCUUUAAUAUUCUCCAACAGUUCAAAAUGUGAUUAGCUGAAUGUACUUUUUUACACGCUGCUUUCUAAUCACUCUGUUCCAACAAAAGGCUUUAAGUAUCCUUCAGUUACAAAUGUUUACAAAAUCGUGCCCCUAAUAACCAGUCGAGCUUAGAUCUUAAUAACCAGUAAAACACUAGAACAUAACAUUCGGAAAAAGUGAGUACUGUUGGAAAUCAUUACUGGUAAUGGAAACAACAGCUGGCUGCUGGAAAUGCUGCAUUAGCAUGUGAUAUAAUCAAUGAAUCUCUGUUAAAACAUAAUUCACCAUAAACUACCCAUUUUACAUGGUAAAAGUCAUUGCUUCUUCACAUAACUCAAAAUUUGAUACUUUAUCAAAUGUCUAUGAAAAUUUCUAAAUAGGGAGAAGACGUAAAAUUAACAUGUGUCCAAAUUUCAUGCAAGAAUGAAACCAAGCAAAUUUUCAUUUCAAUUACCAGUGGACAUAGUAAGAGCUCAUGGGUGGACAUGAACAAAAUAAUAAUAAUAAUAAAAACUGAAUCUAGAAAACUUCACCUGAUCAUUAGUCUUCAUAACAACCGGAUUUCGUCUAAUAGAAACAUAAAUCAUUCAGUUGGUCCGUGCAUCCUGUCAAAUUCGUCGAAUAAUGGGUCACUACGAUCUAUUGGAGUUGAUUCGUCAUUGUUCGAUGGUGAUGUCCUGCAUAAACAUCAAACAAAAGCACAUAAAAAAUUUACCUAUUCAAAUUUUAGGUGUUAUUAUAAAUAGUGUUAGCAUCUUACGGUGUGUUCAAAUUUCUUGAGCAUUGUCUUCUAUCAUGGCCAAUGUGUCCACACUCCCGACAGUGUCUAAUCCUUCGCUUCAUUGCCUUUUCCUUUGCUCCCGUUACUCGUUUCGACCUUCCUUUGCACCUCACUCUCUUAGGGUCUUUCAUAUAUUGUGUUUGAGAGCUGGACUCUCCAACUUCGUUAUUACUUGGUCCAUCCUUCAACAACUUCAACUUCACCUACAAACUUUUUAGAGUCUCUGACAGUAGCUCACAUCCUUCUUCACUCAUUAAUGCAUCCUCAACCACAUCUGAAGCAAGUCGAGACAUUGUACUCCGCUUUAUUAAAAGACCAGGAUUUGCAGAGUCUUUAAUUUCGUUGCCAUUUGCAUCUGACACCAAUCCAGAUUUCGCAGUUUUCUUCCACCUCUUCAAAAUAUAUUUAUCGGGCAUAUAUUCAAUCUGGUCCCUUCUGAACAAUGCUAAGAUGUGCUUGCAAAUAAUUCCAACAAAUUCAAAUCUUUUGCAGCUACACGAUGCGUGGUCAGAAUCUUUGACAUAUACAACUUCUGCCACUCUUGUUUCCCAAUUUUUCCUUUCGCUCACGUUAAAGACAACUUUAGAAGCAUCCUCUGUUUUGAGCUCUAGGAAACAUGCUGUACUUUGUAUUAGUUCUUGCUCAAACUUUUGAAACAUUGUCCUUGUGUACAAGGUAGCCAUUUGUUUGUUUAUUGGCAUCGGUAGAAUACAUUGAGCCACUUCAAAUGCAUCUAUGUGAUCAGCAACUAACUCUUUUUGACGUUGAUGAGAAAGUGCCCUCUCAAAUCGUAUUAUGAAAUCCAUCAACGAAUUUCUCUUUGAUAUGUAUUGCUUGAAAAAACCAUGAGAACCUUCCGCUAUUUGGCUGCUUGAUAUUCCAGCGGCAAAAAAUUGUCGUGCGUAGGCUGGAACCCAAGAUUCCCUUAAAUCAAACAUUGAACUUAGCCAUGGAUGGUCAGUCAAACCAGCCUUUGUAACCACAAUAUUCCAUUUUGCAUCAAACUCAUCCUUAUUGUCAGUAUCCCAUAUGACUUUCUGAAAUUCACUCCAAUACUCCUUAUAAGCAGAAUGUGGUAACUUAACAGAGAACUUUGAUGUGAUGUGCCAUAUGCAAAGUCGAUGAAAUGUAGUCGGGAAGGCUAUUGAAAUCACUCUGGUCAUUGCCGCAUCUUGAUCUGUAAUGAUCAUUUUAGGUUCGCCACCUGGCAUGGGUUUCUUAAACUCCUCAAACAUCCAAAUAAACGACUCAGUCGUUUCCUUGCUAAAAAAUGCACAUGCUAAGACAAUUGUCUGACCAUGGUUAUUAACUCCCAACAUUGGUGCAAAUGUCAAGUCGUAUCGAUUCGUGUUGAAUGUGGUAUCGAAUACAACAACAUCUCCAUAAAACCCGUACGCCCGUCUAGAAGUUGCAUCUGCCCAAAAAAAUCGACUAAACUUGUCAUGGCCAUCUCCCUCAAUCUUGAAAUAAAAAGCCUCAUUUUUUUCUGUUCAGCCAUAAAAUACUCGGUCACUAGUUCAACAUCGUGGUUCCUCAGCUUCCCAUUCACACUACAUUCAAGAUUGUAGAUAUCUUUUUUGAUAAAUCUGAUUUUAUCCAUUCCUCCGGAUUGCACCUCGAAAAUACUUACCUUCUGAUGAAUGAGAAUAUUAACUGAACCCAACUGUUUUGUGAGUACUUUUGUAGAAUCUGAAAUACGACGGUGUGAUCUUAAUAAAUGCAUUCUUUCUGAGGGUGUCAUCUUAUGAUUGUGUCCCUCUGCAAAAAGAGAGAUGGUAUACUUCUUGCUCCCAUUUGCCUUCACAACUACAAUCUUAGCUUUGCAAUUGCAUCUACUUAUUCCCCGUUGUCUUUUUCUCUCUCAAGUUUCAUCUCUCAUGUAUGCACCUUGUUUGCAACAUACAAAUUCUUUCCUCAAAAUCUCUUUCUUAUUUUUCCCCCAAAAGCUGGAAUGAAGUCGAAUACCAAAGCCAGCCAAGAAUGCAUAUCUAUUAUAGAAAUUGUAAACGAGGUCAAGCGAGUCGAACUUCAUCCCAACUGCUGGUGUUUCCUCAUUUCUUACUUCAGGAAUAUAAACCCUCCCAUUAGCUGUUACACAGUCAUCACUCUCUGAGCCCCCAGACAUUUUAUCUACAUAUAUUAUUGAUCCACUUCUAUAUUACUGCAUAGCAAAUAUUAAUUCAUUAAUCAGUCAUUACUGCAUCACAACAUAUCAAUGCAUUCCACUUACACAAAACAUUGCCCAAAUUGACACAAAACACACAUAGCCUAACUUGUUGGAUUCCGAUUACACAAAACGCAAGCAAAAUUUAAUAAUAGUUACGUCAUCUCUUGUGAAAUAAUCUGGAAAAAAUAACAUUAGAACCAACAUGUUCAACUAAGAACACAAAUGUAAUUCAAACCACCAAUUACAGAACUUCACCCAAUAUCCUCUCCAAAUGCUUACUCCUAAUGUCAUUAAGCCUAAAUUUAGGAUCUUUUACCUACAUUUCAUAAUUUUCCACCCCCACCAAAAACAAUCAACUAAGUAUAUUGAAUAUUCAUAAAGAAAGGACACAUUAUUGACUCCACCAAUGACGCAUUAUUGAUGCCACAAAUGACGAAUUUCCCACCCUCACAAAAAAUAAACCAAAGCCAAUAAAAUCAAUCCAGCAAGUGAACUUACCUCUCAAAAUCAAUCGGGAGCUCCGAAGUCAGUCAGCUUGAGAGAAUGUGGUGGACAUUAGAGAAGACUCUUUGGUAUUUGAGACUCCAUCUCUACCAAAAUUGAGGAACAACUGCUGCUGCGGCAUCUAGCUACAAAAAGAGAUAUGCUACUUUACUUUCAUCUGGAAUCUUGUCUGCUGAAUGAAAAAGAGAAGGGGUUUUCACUUGAGCCAUAAAAUCAAAACAGGGCAACAGCUAGGUAAGAGCCAUUAAUCGCAAUACCGAGGAUACCAUAGAUCGCAGGCCUCCCAAGAAGCUGAUGACAAUGGAGUGACUAUAGGGUUUGGGAGCUUUGGAUCCUUCUAAUUGUGGGUUUUCUUUACAUUCAAAAAGAGAGGAUUAUGUUCUUGAGUUUUUCACAAAGAGGGAAAGAGGGAAAGAUGAGACUGAAGUUGGGUUUCUAACGGGUUAGAUUUCAACCCGAUUCUACAUGCACCCUUUUUAAAAACUCACCGUUGGAUGAAAUCCAACGGCUCUUACAUACCCCUCAAAAACACCCCUUAUAACUUUCCACUCACUAUAGAAGCUCCCAAAAGAAAACAGAUUUGCCAAAAAUCAAAUUUUAAGUCUCUCCUACGAUCGAAAUUUGGAUUUGAUGAACUAAAGUGGUUUUACUUUCUCCAUCAGUGUUUGAUGACUUAAUUUGUUAUUUACUUUUUUUAAAAAAACUUUAUCUUAUAUAUAUUAGUUUUCUUUUUUCCUUCAUAUUCACCACCUUUAUGUUGCUUAAGUAUUUCAGUCUUAACGGGUUUCCAUCUACCACUCAUCUUUGCUCUUCUCAGUGUAAGCCUUUUUUUUAAGCAUAAGAUUAGAGGGGAGGGGGGGGAGGGGGAUUUCUUAAUGUAAGCUUUGCAGUUUCAUAAUUAAUAUUUCCAAUAUCUCACUGUUAGUAAAAUACAAAACAUGAAAAGUAUGAAUAAAAUACGCACAUGUUACUAAUUUAUUGAGAUAAAAUACCAUUUUGCCCCUAGAAUAUUUUAUUAGGUUUAAAGUUGACUUUUUGACCAGGAAGGAAUUUGGGUAUUUCGACUAUAUCGUUGCAUAGAGCACGACGAGGUGAUUCCAUAGACACGUGGUAGGCUCGAAUCGGAGUUGUAAUGAGAGACAUACGAUCAAAAUACCUUCAGUGGCAUAAUCGUAAUUUUGGCUUAAAGGGUUUGAUAAAAUAUGAUUUUUCUUUCUUUCUCUCUCUCUCUCUCCCCGCCCAGUCUCUCUCUCGUGACGGCAGUGAUAGCCGGCCACAUUUUGGCCAGCCGUGCUCUCGUCCGGCCACCAAAGCUGAUGGGGCCGGUACCAAAAUGAUCAGGCCACCAUCCUUUUCCAACCUCAGCCAGGCCCCGCCGCCAGCAGUCGUGGUUUUGCCGGAAAAUGGAGAAGAAGCGGCCGGUUUUGUUCGAACUUCUCCGACUUCGUUCUCCCUCCUCUGGCCACCGAUUCCGAUGAAUGAGGUAUGGUUUCUCACCUACUUUUCAUGCUCUAGCUGCCUGUUGGGUAGGAUUCGAUCAAUCCCUAGUGUAGGUGGCUUGAUUUUCGAAUUGGGUUUCAGCCGAUUUUGGGAUCUCGAUUCCAGCCCCUUUCGAUCAGUUUUUAGGGUAGGUCCCAGAACAAAAGUGGUUCCAAAUAGGGUGUUAUACCUAGGUAGGAACCUUGAGCCGUGAUUUUGAGAAUUUUCUACGAUGCCUAAUCGCUUUGGACACCCACGCGCUACCGGCACGUGGGCACUGUAGAAAAAGGGCAUUGUGUCCCGAUGCGAUCCCCUUGUUGUCUUGAGUGCAUAGGUGUGCUCGGAUUUCAAUUGAAUACCGUUUGAGUCUCGAACGAAUAUCACAUAUUGUGCGUUAUCCGGAGUCGAUAGGUUUGAACCGUUGGAUAGUCUUAGAUUUAUAAUAUGUUAAUCUAGAUAUUCUUAGGAUCAAAAAGGAUUUGACGGAUCGUAAAAUGGAGUCCCGGAUACUCCGAAAAUGCCAACCCUAGGGCUAGGUUCCUAGUAACCGUCCGAUCGUGCAAUCAUGAGCAAUCCGACAGUCCGAUCCGGACCAAACUUGCAGGACGUGUAUCCUAAACCUUGUAGAACCCAUAGGAACUUUCAGAUUAGAAUUUGGAGGUCGUGGGCCCCUUGGGCCCGUUUGACUAAGUUUGGGUAGUUUGACCAUUGGCUGAUCGUGAGUCUUCAAAGGUAGUUUUACCUUCCUAGGAGGAUUAUAAAGACCCUAGUGACAGGUCUUGAGCGUUGUUGAGCUAUGUUGACUAGGUUUAGACUUUUAGAGUGUUUAUUAUUAUCGUAGGAAACUCUUGGAUAUUAUUUUAAUAAUUGAAAUUAUGAAAUUUAUGUUUAUGUGCAUGAUCGUUGGUCUAAAAAUAGCAUUAUUUUCCUGAUAAAAUUACGUUGCAGUAUACUAUAGAAUGGUAUCACUAAAUGGGGAUUACCUCUAUUAUUAGUUUAGAUAAUUAUGAGUAUGUCAGUUUGAAGUGCUAUACGCACUACCCUAAGUACCACCCUGUGAUUGUUAGGUCCCAUGUGGUGUAGGUUAUCCAGUGUAAGGACAGACCCCAUACGUGGCUUCAGAUGUUCUGAAGUAUUGGGGAGAUUAUGUGAUGGUUUUGUCACACGUGGCGUAGGUUAUCCGGCGUGUUGACAGACCAUAUACAUGGAGUUGGAUGUUCCGGCAUAUGGAGAGAUUUUGUGAUUGUUAGGUCCCACGUGGCGUAGGUUAUUCGGCGCGAGGACAAACCCUAUAUGUGGCUUUAGAAGUUCCGGCGUAUGAGGGAGAUUAUGUGAUGGUUAGGUCACACGUGGCGUAGGUUAUCCGGCGUGUUGACAAACCUCAUACGUGGUGUUGGAUGUUCCAGCGUAUGAGGAGAUUUUGUGAUUGUUAGGUCCCACGUGGCGUGGGUUAUCCGGCGUAAGGACAGACCCCAUACGUGGCUUUGGAUGUUCCGGCGUAUGGGGGAGAUCAUGUGAUGGUUAGGUCACACAUGGUGUAGGUUAUCCGGCGUGCUGACAGACCCCAUACGUGGCGUUGGAUGUAACGACCCGGUCCUAAAUAAAUUAGUAAAUAUUAAUUUAUUCAAAGAAAAUACCAUUUUGCCCAUAGAAUAUCUUAUUAGGUUUAAAGUUGAUUUUGUGAUCGGAAAGGAAUUUCAGAAUUUCGACUAUACCGUUGCGUAGAGCACGACGAGAUGAGUCCGUAGACACAUAGUGGGCUCGAAUCGGAGUUGUAACAAGAGAGAUACGAUCAAAAUACCCUCAGUGGCAUAACCGUAAUUUUGGCGAAAAGGGUUGAUAAAAUCAUAUUUCUCUCUCUCGGCCGGAAAUCCCAGUUGACAAAAUCCCGGCCGGAAACCUUGAAUUUCAGCCACAGCUUCGACUGGUUUGAACAGGGUUUUUCCCGGCUUUGCCCCAUCGCCUCCGCCGCCCAAUUCUGGUGAAACAGGUAUGGUUCCUCACCUAUUUUCCGAGAUCUAGCUGCUGUUGUGUAGGAAUUGGACAAUUUUCGUGUUUAGGAACUCGAUUUAGAAUUUUGGUUUUGCCCGAAUUUUCAAAGUGAAAUUUCGGCCACUUCUGCUAGUUUUUGGGGUAUGUCCAAGAACAAAAGUGGUUCCAAAUAGGGUGUUAUACCUAGAGUAGGAACCUUGAGCCAUGAUUUUGAGAAUUUUCGGCGAUGCGUAAUCGCUUUGGAAGCGCGUGGGCACUGUUGAAAAGGGGCAUUGUGUCCCGAUGAGAUUCCCCUGUUGUCUUUAGCGCGUAGGUGUGCUCGGAUUUCAAUUUGGAUACCGUUUGUGUCUUGAACGGAUAUCACAUAGUGUGCGUUAUCCGGGUUCGAUAGGUUUGAACCGUUGGAUAGUUUUGAAUUUGAUAUAUGUUAAUCUAGGCAUUUCUAAGAUCGUGUAGGAAUUCACGGAUCUUGAAUCGGAGCCCUGGAUGUUCCGAUUUAAUAACUUAAAGUUUAUGUUUAUAAUAACCGUCAGAUCGUGCAAUUGUGAGCGAUCCGACCGCCCGAUCCAGACCAAACUUGUUGGACGUAUAUCCUAAACCUUGUGGAACCUAUAGAAAUUUUCGGAUUAGAAUUUGGAGGUCGUGUGCCCCAUGGGCCCGUUUUACCAAGUAUGGGUAGUUUGACCCUUAGUUGACCAUGAGUCUUCCGAGGUAGUUUUACCUUCCUAGGAGGAUUAUAAUGACCCUAGUGACAGGUCUUAACCGUUGUUGAGCUAUGUUGACUAGGUUGAGACUUCUAGAGUGUUUAUUAUUAUUGUAGGAAAUUCUUAGAUAUUAUUUUAAUAAUUGAAAUUAUGAAAUUUAUGUUUAUGUGCAUGAUCGUUGGUCUAAAAAUAAUAUUAUUUUCCUGAUUAAAUUACGUUACAGUCUACUAUAGACUGGUAUCACUGAAGUGGGAAUACCUCUAUUAUUAGUUUAGAUAAUUGAGAGUAUGUCAGUUUGAAAUGCUAUACGCACUACCCUAAGUACCACCCUAUGAUUGUCAGGUCACCCGUAGCGUAGGAUUUUCUGGCGAGAUGACAUACCCCAAUUGUGGCGUUGGAAUUUCCGGCGUAUGGAGAGAUUAUAUGAUUGUCAGGUUACGCGUGGCGUAAGAGUUUUCGGCAUUAUGACAGACCUCAUACGUUGCGUUGGAAUUUCCGGCGUAUAAGGAGAUUAUUUGAUUGUCAAGUCACCCGUGGCGUAGGAUUUUUCGGCGGGAUGACAGACCUCAUACGUGGUGUUGGAAUUUUUGGCGUAUGGGGAGAUGAUAUGAUUGUUACGUCACAUGUGGCGUAAGUUAUUCGACGUGCUGACAGACCCCAUAGGUGGCGUUGAAAUUUCCGGCAUAUGGGGAGAUGAUAUGAUUGUUAGGUCACACGUGGCGUAAGUUAUCCGGCGUGCUGACAGACCCCAUACGUGGCGUUGGAAUUUCCGGCGUAUGAGGAGAUUAUGUGAUUGACAGGGAGAUGAAUAAAGGUAUUGUAUGUGUUUGGAAUGGGGAUUUAGUAGGAAGAACUACGUGUGGCUUGAUCCCUCAGUGAGGGUAUGUAGGUAGCCUAAGGUUAUUAGGUGCAGCCGCGGACAUAGAUGUGAUUGUGUUAGGAGGUUAAAACCUCGUAUGUUGGAAUUGGAAAAGUUAGAUGAUGUAUGUUGUAUUUAGUAUUCAUAAUUCAUAUUUGAGUUUAUUAUUUGCCUUGCUGAAAGCAAUAUGUGACUCAAGAGCUUUGUGGGUAGUUUGGGAUAUUAAAUGUGUUUUAUGCAGGUUGAAAAAUUUGGGGAAUGAUCAAUUUACAGGGGAGACUUUGCCGAAAUUUCGACAGAAAGUCCCGGUCUUUAGUAAGUGGGCCCGGCAUCGGGGUGAUGUCGAGAAUUCCAUAGGAUUCGUAUCGGGUUUCGGGAAAUCUGGGGCUAGUCUUGUCAUUGGAUGUUCCGGCGUAUGGGGAGAUUUUGUGAUUGUUAGGUCCCACGUGACGUAGGUUAUACGACGUGAGGACAGACCCCAUACGUGGCUUUGGAUGUUCCGGUGUUUGGGGAGAUUAUGUGAUUACUAGUGAGAUGAAUAAAGGAUUGUUUAUAUUGGGAAAAAUGUGUUUGUAGAAAGAAUUACGUGUGGCUUGAUCCCUCAGUAAGGGUACGUAGGCAGCCUAGGGUAGUGGUUAGGUGCAGCCGCUGACUAAACGUUAUAAUGUUGUUUUUAGGUUUGAUUAUAUGGUAUUAUGGGCCGAGGCCCCUGGGACUAUUGGUUAUAAUUCAUAGAUGGUAGUUGAUGCAUGCUAGAAAUUUGUAGGAAGUUAUUUCAUGUGGAUUGCAGUGGUACUCGUAAAAUUUAUUUGAGUUCCUGAAUUGCAUUGUUAGUAUAUUAAUUGACUUAAGAGUACUGCUAGUAGUUCUGCCUUGAUUUAUUUGAAGGUUGGAGGCCUUGUCUGUAAACUGUGUGCAAUUACAUUGUGUGUGCUGGCAGUUGGCUUUUUAAAUUGUGAAUUUUGUGCAUGUUGAAAUUUGGGAAAUGUUCAAUUUACAAGGGAGACUCUGUCAAAAUUUCGAUAGAAAGUCUUGUGCCCUUAUUCCUUUUUCGGAAAAAGGAUAUAUAGCUUUAGAAGUGGGCCCGACAUCGGGAUGAUGUCGGGAAUUUCGACAGAAUUCGUCUUAGGUUUCGGAAAAUUCGGGGCGGGUCCGAAAAAGUUGCUUCAGUUUUGGCAAGUAUCGGAAAAGACCAAAAUUUUCCGACUUUAUUAUUACUAGAAACAAAGUCGAAGUAUUCACCAAUCAUGUGGCCUUCCAAGUGCUCAAGGUUAAGCCAGGAACCGUUCCUAUCUGCCGUUUCCUUCCCAACUAUGAUCAUGUUGUCUAGGUUCCAACCCACAAAUCUACAUUGGGCUAUGUAUUUGAAUUUGUACUAAAGCGUGAUCUAUAGUAUGCAUUUAUUAGAUAAGUUUGAGAUGGCAGUGGCUUGGGUGUCCGCCGAGCUUGAACAAGUUUGGGUGUGCUGAGUGUUUCCAUGGGUGCGUUGAUGAUCAUGGUUAUUAGAUUUGUGAUAGUUUGGGCUCAAUUUCAACAGAACUUAUCUCAAGCCUAGUUAGUUGAUUCAUAAGUUUAUCAGGAAAAAAAAAUGAAAAAUGAAAAAUGAAAAAUGAAAAAAUCUUAAGUUAAGCCCAAGGACUUCUCACCAAAGUGUGCAUAAAUUGAAAUAUUUAAUAGAAGCCCAAGAUUUCUGAAGCACAUAAUAUCUACUAAAUUCUACAAAGUGUUAUACUUUACAAACUUCCUAUGUGUACCAAUUUUUACUAAAAUUAAUUUCUCUGCGGUGUUGAGAUUCAUCAUAAUUUUAGUAGAAAUUGGAAGUUUUCAUCAUUUUUGCUUUAAGUCUCUCCUCCACUCACUAAUAAAGAUUACUCAAGUGAGUUUACAAAACAUUUUUUUCUACUCUCUCCUGAAAACUACACUUCUUCUCAAAAGAUUAGAUCACUUCACAUCUUGCAUAUGUGAAAACUAAUGUAAAAAGUUGAAACUUUAUCAUAAAACCUCGACAAAAAUUAGCUCUACUUAAAACGUUAAAUUUGGAUUCGUUGAUUUAAAUGGCAAUUUGACACUUCAUAGAAAUUUUUACAUACAUGUGUUAGUGUUUGAUCACUUCACUUGUUACUUACUAUAUUUAUUCCAUGAUUCUCCCUCAAGUUAGGUAAAUAUUAUUAUCAAACAUUUCAAUUCAUUUGUGAUCUUUCUUGUCCAUCUUUUAAUGUACCCUGAAAUCCAUUAGCCACAUAUGAUGACCAAAAUCCAUACGUUCCUAUUUUUAAUGUAUGUUUACUCCCUAUAAUGUUCCAGUCUAGGGUAAUAACACUGCUAGUUUCAUAUGACAUCCUAUUUCUAAUGUGUAUCUACCCUUGUAAUGUUCCAGUUUAGGGUAAUAACACUGCUAGUUUACUAUCAUGUUGAUUAAUGCUUGUCAUGUUGCUAUUUCUAAUACAUGUCCAACAAAGAAAAGAUGAAGAAAGAACAAACCAGACCAACUCAAAAUAAGUUGAGUCCAAAUAGUUAAUACUAUUAUGUCGUAGAAGUACGUUGUUAAUACUCUGUAAUAGAAGUACAUGGUUAAUACUCUGUCAUAGAAUUACAUUGUUAAACAAAAAUAAGAUCCAUAACUGAAAUAGUAAUAAAAGAUAAGUCGAUCAUCAAAUCUUAAAAUACAUUUCGAAAAUCAACUAAAAUCCGAAGAGAAACACAUAAUUGAAGCAAAAGAUCAAAAAUCUCAAGUCCAAACCAAACAACGACGACGACGACAAUGAUGACGACAAUGACGUGGCGAAGAGGAGUAGAGCUCGAAGAUGAGGAGUAGAGCUAAGAGCAUUUGAUCAAGGUUCGUUUGAGGUCUCGAACAAUCCGAAAAAAAAAAAUCAAUAGAAGCAAGAUUUUAAAACAAGAAUCGAAUGUGAAAUAUUGAAAAUUGUAGAUUAAAGAUGAAGAAUAUAGUUGGACCUGAGACUGAGCUCCAAUGGAAGCUCCUCUUGCUCCAACACCAGAGAAAGCACCAACAAGAAAAGAGAAAAUAAAUAUGAUUUGGAUUUUUGGCAGAUUUGAAUUUUUGGCAGAUCUGGUUUUUUUGGCAAAUUUGAAUUUUUGGCAGAUCUGUGCAGAUUUGUUUUUUUGGCAGAUCUGAUUUUUCUCUCUCAAAUCCAUAUUGCAAGGGCAAUAUAGGUAUUUAACACACACAAAUAAACUAAAAAACAGCUAUUAAAUUGAAAAAUUUGACAGCUAUCAAUUUUGGGUGUGUUUGUAGUUUUUAAAUAGUAUAGGGUUUCUUUAUUAGACUAUGUCUACGAUUGGGUAUAUAAUUAAAUUUCUAUUAUUAAAAAAAAAGGACCCUAGUAAAGCCAUGGGACGAUACUCCUUUUAUAUAUAUUAUAUGAUAUAAAUAUUAUAAUAUAUUAUCUAAUAUUUGGAAUAUUUACUCUAAAAUAAACAAUAUAUUAGGUUCUUUUUGUCUACAAAUUGACCAUUAAACUUCUUAAUCACUCUUAUACUUUUAAUUAAAUCUACUAGGCUAGGUUACGAUAUUUGCACUAAAAACUCCUAAUUGUUUUUUCUUCUCUUUCUCUUGCUCUUUUUUUAACUUAAGCUGAAGUUUUGUAAUUUUUUUUCCCUCCCUUUUUACAUGUAUGAGUAGGGUACUUUAAUAUUGGGAUUUAUGAACUUUUUUUGUAUUUCUUCUCUAUGUUGGAAUAUAAAUUAGAGAUAUUUAGUCAUAUACCCAUUCUUAGCACUAAUAUUAUAAAUAAACCUUACAUCAUUCAAUUCCUAUAAACAAACCCAAAAAAUAAUAGCUGGCCCUAUUGAAUUUAAUUUUGACUAUUAAAUUACUUUGAUGCCCUAUUGAGUGUUUUGGGCUUUUUUUUAUGAGAUUUUGGAGUUGAGUUUGUUUUAAGAAAUCAAUGGCAAUUUUGUAAUUUAAAAAAAAUUAAAAGGCUUUUUGUUAUGUUGUAAAUAGGUUUCGAGUGUGUUUCUAAAGUCCAUUUCAUAUAGGUUUUUUAUAUAUAAUAAUUUGAACUCCUAUAUUGGGUAUAAUAGUGAAUCUCCAUUUAUUAACUUUUGAGUCUUUAAUAGUGUAGAUGAUGAGAUUAAUAUUCAACCAUUUUAUAAUAUGAAAUUAAGGACAAUCAUGAUUGUAAUGAAUGGAUUAUUAAUCAAUAUGAAAUGAUAUUAUGAAGUAGGCUAAAUGGAGUAGUUAGUAUCGUAUUAACUUAUUAACCGGUUAGCGCUUGAGCCCUCUAAUUCAAAUUAUUUUAUAAAAUUUUGUGAAGGGCCCCUUCUAAUGCAAAUUCCUGGCUGCGCCACUGCCUAUAGCAACUUGGUAAUGUGUGUGAAACAUCCCCUCCUUUUGUCGUUUAAACUAUCGGUUCGCUUGUAUUAAUAAAACAAAAAAUAAAAUAAAAGAUAAAAUUAUAAAUAAAACAAAACACAUAUUAAAGCCUAACUGUUAAUAAUGGAUCCAACAUAAGAUCCAGCCCAAGCCCAUGAAUAAAGCCCCCGAAAACGGUUGGUCCCUCAAUUAAAUUAUUCGUUCAAAUGGUCCAUCAACUCUAUAUUAUUCGCUCCAUUGGUCCUACCGUUAUAUUUUGUCAAUAUUUCUGUUAAAUAUGAGGGCAAAUUGGUCAUUAUUUAUCCUAAAAUUAGGUUAAAUCUAACAUAAAAUUAGACGGUAGGAAUUCGGGGCAGGUCAUGUCAAAAAGCUAAUUAGAGGGGCGAAAUUGACAAAUAAAUUUAAUACAAUAGCUAAAUUGGUUGAAAGAUUAAUUCAAGAUGUAGAUUUCAACAAGUGUGAUAAUUCAUGGGGUAUUCGGUAAUUUACUCCUUUUUUUCCCCUUGAUCUUCUAUAUUCAAGUAAUGGAAAUGUGUUCCACAUUUUCCAUUUAGUUGAUUAUAGAAAAGGAAGAGCAAACAUGAGUUAAGCCCAAGGCACCGAACUUAGGGUCAGUUUGGCAUUGUUAUGCUGUGAAAAUAAUCGUUGUCAGAUUUGCUGUGAGAGAAAAUAGUUUGGCGUUUGGUAAAAUUUUUGUUAAAAGUAUUAUUAGUAUUUAUUUUACGCAUAAUCAGAAAAUGAUUGCUGCAUAAUCAUUAAAUCCAGCGCCUUUUCGAAACUGAUUUUUGCAUAAUCAGAAAAUGAAAGCACAUCAUUAGCUGCUUUCCUUUAUAGCUUUCUCUCACAUCAAUUUUUAACAAUAAGUGAUUUUCUCACAGUUUACCAAAUGGAUUGGGCUUCUCAAAAUUUUAAAAAAAUCACUUAUCACCCCAAAUAAGUAAUGCCAAACGGGCACUUAGACUUCUCACCAACGUGAGGAAGAAAAAUAUGACAAAUUGAUAUAUUUAAUACAAGCUCAAACUGUGCACAAAUUAAUAUAUGCAACGGAAGCCCAAGAUUAUUUCUGAAGCACAUAAUUUCCGCAAAAUCUACAAAGUGGUGGGAGGCAGACCAACAAAAAAAAGUAGCGAAGGCUUAUAACUCUGGUAAAACAAGAGUGACUUGGACAGAAUAAUGUUAUGUCGUACUGAAGAUUUUUGGGUUUCUUUAAUUGGUUAAGUUUAUAUACCUUCAUUUGAAGAUUCUUUAUUUGGGUUGCUUUCAAGAUGAAAACCAUAUCCACAACCACAACCACAACUGGCAGACAAUCUUUGGCUGUUCAUCACAAUUGGGCGACAAUGAAGAAGACAGAAAUUGGAGUAAUGUAUGUUACCAGCAAUCCACGAGAAACUGACAUCUGCAAGCUUUCGUAAUAUAAGGAGGAUGGGGAGGCCGUGCAAUACUUAUCACCUUAGCCACCACCUACACCACAAGACCAAUAUGUUGUAGGCCAGGAGGCUUUCCAAUUUUAAUAUAUAUAUAUAUAUAUAUAUAAAAGUAAAGUGACAAAGAAAUUAAUGUAGGGUAAAGGUAGAAUAGAAAAGAGAAUGAACAAAAUUAAUAAAAAAAAGUUUUAAAAAGUAAAAGGGAGUGUAGAUGGAGAAAAGAGGAAUGGGGAAAUUAGCUCCCUAUAUAUAUAUAGAUUGAAAAAUUAAAAUUAAAAUCAAUCUAUUAUCUUAUAUAUUAUAAAAUAAAGAUUAUUGCUCCAAGGAAAUGAGAUCUUUUGUUUUCUGGGAAUUUUCUGAACCAAGAAGAAUCAAGUAAAAUUAAUAAAGCAUAAAUUGGAAAGGGAAAAGAUCCAGAGGAUGCAUUGUAAGAUUGCUGAUGCCAAUAAUUGUACCCUCUAAUUUUAUACAUGGACGGGCAUUCAAAUCGGCAAAUCAGAAAUCCAAGCCAAAUCGCACAGGAAAAAAUCGAGUUGACCAAAUAGUCAACAACCAAUCAAAAACCAUACCGGACCAGUUUGGACCGGUUUUGGAUCCAAUUCUAUGUCUUCAAAAACUGAACCAAGCGGAACCGAACCAGUCAAAUUAAAAAAUAUAUAAUUUCAAUAUAUAUUUAUAUUCAAUGCUAUAUUUUUAGUCUCAUAACUAAUAUUUAUGCAAGUUCAAUUUCAAAACAUCUCUCUUUUCUGGCUUUAAUAUUUAUUUUUAUAUAAAAUUAAAUAAUUUAUUAAUUUUCAAGUCAAAAAAAUAAAAUUUUAGUUGAAAUUUGUAUUAAAAAAUUAUUUGAAAAAAAUUAAUUUUAAUAAUCCAGUUCAAAACCAAAUCGGACCGGAACCUAAUCAAAAUCGGUUCAACCUGAACCGGACAGUUUUUGAAUUUUUUUUGUUAAAACCGAACCAAACCAAACCGGACAAAUAGUAUCGGAUUCGGUUCUAAUUUGAGACAAAAACCAGUCCAAACCGGACCGUGCCCACCCUAUUUUUUUUGUUUUCAAGUCUUAGAUGACAUGUCGACCUAAAAUUAUUGUUCCUAGCGGGCUCUCCACCCCCACUCAACCUAUUGUGUAUUAUUAUUUUCAAUAUUAUCUUAAAUUUAACUACUUAUGUCCAUUAUGAUUAGUCAUGUAUUUUAUGGACCAUCCAGCUGUGAGGCUUUAUCUCAAAAACAUUCAGUACCUUUUUCCCGCUUGCAACAAUUGUAUUUGAUUCAGAAUUAUGUCCUAUAUUGGUGGGUGGAGUGUUACUUCUGGGUACCCCUCAUCAUUCGUCUAUAAAAUGGUGAAGCCAGUUGCUACUGUUACCAUAAGAGCCAUCUCCGACUUUCUUUAAUUUCUUGCUUCAUAUCCACUAGCUACAUCUGUUGCCAAGUUAAUUUCAGUCCUAAUGGGGUUUCAUCUCCCACUCAUCUUUGCUCUUCUCAGUGUAAGCUCUGCAAUUUGAUUAACAUUUCCAUUAUCUCUCAUUGUACUCUAUAUAAACGAAAGUUUUGCAUUCCUAUAAUCCUCUCUGAUUUUAUUUACCACAUAAGUGUCGUCCACUAAUUAAUUACACUUUGUGAUUUGAUUUUAAUUAGAGUUCGAAUUAAUGUUGCAGCUAGCAGCGGUGGCACUGGCAAACCAUGCUGCUCAACCAGCAGCUCAACUUUACUGGAACUCCGUCCUGCCGAACACACAGAUGCCAAGAACUAUCAGUGAACUUCUGCAUCUUGGUUUGUGUUAAUCACUUUAGAAUCUUAGAUAUUUUUUCUACCUGCCAUUUUACUAAAAUUUGUUUGACCACAUAUUUAUCGGUUAACUACUGUUUUCCAAUUUAUUAUUAACCUCUACAUGAGUAAUUAUAGUAUGGUACUAGAGUACGUACGGCAACAUAUUCACAAAUGUCUCACUGAAUCUUCAAUCGGCUGAUCACUUAUUUUCCAUUAUGACGUUGAUAUAUAAUUUGCCGACUCCACAAAUGAAGAAAAGAGCACAAAUAUCAUGAAUGCUGUUGGGAAUGGAAAGCCAACUGACCACAAGGGAAAACCUGAAAUAAACGCAUUGUUUAGCGGAUACACAAUUCAAGUACAGUAUGCAGGAGUUCCUAAUUCUGACAAUCAACUCCAGUAUUAUAAAAACAUAACUAUUUUCUUCUUGGGGAAGGACAUGCGCCUUGGCGCAACAAUGAACUUCCAAUUCCCUAGAAAUUCAAACACGGCUACUUUCCUGCCACGCGAAAGUGCUCAAUCAAUCCCCUUCUCCUCUAACAAACUAUCAGAAAUUUUCAAACAUUUUUCAGUGAAGCCAACAUCUGUGGAAGCCAAAACAAUUAAGAAAACAAUCGAAGAGUGUGAAGCUCCAGGCAUUAAGGGAGGGGAAAGAUAUUGCGCCACAUCUUUAGAAUCAAUGGUUGAUUUUAGCACUUCCAAGCUUAGAACAAGAAACGUUCAAGCAAUCUCGACUGAGGUAUUGGAAAAAGGAACUGCCAUGUCCAUGCACAAGUAUACAACAAUGCCGGGACUGAAGAAGUUGGCAGGUGACAAAGUCGUUGUGUGUCAUAAGGAGAACUAUCCCUAUGCUGUGUUUUUCUGCCAUGCAAUAAAACAAACAGCAGCUUAUGUUCUCUCCCUGAAAGGCGAUGAUGGGGUGAAGGUUAAAGCAGUAACCAUCUGCCAUCUAGACACAUCAGAAUGGAACCCAAAGCAUUUGGCCUUCCAAAUCCUCAAAGUUAAGCCCGGAACCAUUCCCAUCUGCCAUUUCCUUUCCACAGAUGCUAUUGCAUGAACAUCACUUAGCACUGUACGUAUAAUAAGCUUGCACCCCUGUAUAAUUAUCUCCCUACUCUACUUAUUUCUGCCUCUUCUGUUGAGAUUUCAAUCAGAACUUGCACACACAAUGCAUCAGCUCACACAAAACCAGAUGAAUUUAAGAAAACAGAAAAAUGCAGAGAAAGAAUGGAUUGGCUACUCAGUAAUGCUCAAAGGUUCGUUGCUAUGCACAAAACAUGGCAGUGCACAAUACUCUCAUUUCUAACGGAACCAUUCCUUUUUACAAUGCUGAGAAUGUGAUCUCAGCCUUACAAUUGAUCCAGCAAUGUAAGCUGGACACUUGUCUUAAAUCUGAGUCAUAUAAGUUUCAUCCAACCAAAAUAUUACAUCUGUGAAAUAAAACUUAAACCAGCAGGAAUUUAUAAUUCGACAUUCCCUUCUAAAUUGUUGACUGGUUUAACACCAAGUAGACCUCUUAAGUAAUUGAAUCGAUCCUUAGACAAAGCUUUAGUGAAUAUGUCAGCUGCUUGCUCUUCGGACUUGCAGUAUCUUAGAUCCACCACACCUUCUUGCAAAGCAUCUCGAAUGAAAUGGUAUAUGCGGUUAAUGUGUUUGGUCUUUUGAUGGAAAACUGGAUUCCUUGUCAUUGCAAUGGCAGAGGUGUUAUCUACCAUUAAUGGAGUUGCCUCUGUUUGCUAUUCUCCAAAGUCUUCAAGCACAAACUUCAACCAUAUAGCUUGAGUAGUAGCUUCACUUACACUAACAUAUUCAACUUCAGUUGUGGAGAGAGCAACACUGGGUUGCUUGACAGAUGCCCAAGAUGACACGCCACUUCCAAAUGAGAAAGCAUAUCUAGAAGUGCUCUUCAUGUCAUCUUGACUCCCACUCCAGUCACUGUCACAGUAUCCAAUUAAUACAACUUCUUUUCCCUUCUGGUAUUCAAUACCAUAAUCAAUUGUGCCUUUGAUAUACCUCAACACCCUCUUAGUUGUUCCAUAGUGUUUCUUUUAGGACAAUGCAUGAAUCUAGCUAAUAAGCUAGCUGCAAACAUUAUGCCAGGCCUUGUAGCUGUUAAGUACAACAAACUUCCCACAAUCUGCCUAUAUUCAUUCUCAUCUGCUGGAUCACUUCCAUCUGCUUUGCAUAAUUUCUCACUUGCCACCAGAGGAGUGCUAACAGGUUUACAUUGUUUUAAGCCAAACUUGCUUAACAGAGUCAAAGCAUAUUUCUUUUGACUUAUGAAAAUACUCUUUUCAGUUUGAAUCACAGCCAUACCAAGAAAAUGAUACAAAAGACCUAAGUUAGUCAUUUCAUACCUUCUCAUCAUCUUAGACUAAAAAUCUGCAAUCAAUUCUUCACUGCUUCCUGUAUACACUAUAUCAUCAACAUAUAUCGAUACAAUGAGUGUUCUAGAGUUUUCCUUGGUCUUGCAAUACAGAGUUGCUUCACUAGAGCUCCUUGUAUAACCGCAGUCAAUAAGAUACGAGUUUAUUUCCUCAUCCCAUGCUCUUGGCGCCUGUUUUAGACCAUACAGAGCUUUCUUUAGUUUGUACACUUUGUCUUUAGAGUUCUUAAUCACAAAACCAUCUGGCUGGUCCACAUAUACUUCUUCCUUAAGCACACCAUUCAGAAAAGCAGACUUGACAUCCAAUUGAUACAACUUCCACCCCUUUUGAGCUGCCAAUGCAAUAAAAGUUCUAAUGGUGUCUAAUCGGACUCUGCACCCCUCUCGAUUGAAAACCUAUUGUGUAAAUCUUCAAUCCUAAACGAUGCACCUAAAACACAUGUUGCAAUACACAUCCACCCAUUCUCAGGCCAAUUAUUGCUCAUAGUGGGCUCCCGACCCCCUCUCAAAUUUAAGUGGUCCAUUAUUCUUAACCACAUAUUUUAUGGACCAUCCAGCUGUGAGGUUUUGUCUCAAAAACCUUCGGUACAUUUCUCCCACAUGCCACAAUUGUAUAUUCACAAUUACGUCUGAUACAUCACAUCAUGCCACUUGCCUCAAAUGAAUUUAAGUGAGUGAGGCAGUUGGAAGUAAUUAAGCUCUAUAUUGGUGGGUGGAGUGUUACUUCUGGGUACCCCUCAUCAUUUGUCUAUAAAAUGGUGAAGUCAGUUGCUACUGUUACCAUAAGAGCCAGCUCCGACUUUCUUUAAUUUCUUGCUUCAUAUCCACUAGCUACAUCUGUUGCCAAGUUAAUUUCAGUCCUAAUGGGGUUUCAUCCCCCACUCAUCUUUGCUAUUCUCAGUGUAAGCUCUGCAAUUUGAUUAACUUUUCCAUGCUCUCUCAUUGUACUCUAUAUAAACGAAAGUUUUGUGGUCCUAUAAUUCUCUCUCGAUUUUAUUUAGUACGUACUUAAGUGUUGUCCACUAAUUAAUUACACUUUGUGAGAUUUGAUUUUAAUUAGAGUUCGAAUUAAUGUUGCAGCUAGCAGCGGUUGCACAGGCAAACAAUGCUGCUCAACCAGCACCUCAACUUUACUGGAACUCCGUCCUGCCAAACACACAGAUGCCAAGAUCUAUCAGUGAACUUCUGCAUCCUGGUUUGUGUUGAGCUCUUUAGAAUCUUAGAUAUCUCUUCUACCUGCCAUUUUACUUAAAUAUGUUCGACCACAUAUUUAUCAGUUAACUACUGUCAUUACAUGAGUGACACAUAUUCACAAAUCGGCUGAUCACUUAUUUUCCAUUAUGACGUUGAUAUAUAAUUUGCAGACUCCACAAAUGAAGAAAAGAGCACAAAUGACGUUGGCAAACCUGAAACUUUCCCAUUGGGCAAUCAAAAUUACUCCAGUCAAAAAAAUUAUGGAACAGGCAAUAAACGUUACUGCAGUCAAAAAAGGUAUGGAAGAGGCAAGAAACGUUACUGCGAUCAAAAAAAGUAUGGAAGAGGUGCUUCUCCAUCUGACAAUCAACUACUCCAUUAUAAAGACUUAGCUAUUUUCUUCUUGGAGAAGGACAUGCGCCCUGGCACAACAAUGAAGUUCCAAUUCUCUAGAAAUUCAAACACGGCUACUUUCUUGCCACGAGAAAGCGCUCAAUCGAUCCCCUUCUCCUCUAACAAACUACCAGAAAUUUUCAACCAUUUUUCAGUGAAGCCAACAUCUGAGGAAGCCAAAACAAUUAAGCAAACAAUCGAAGAGUGUGAAGCUCCCGGCCUUAAGGGAGAGGAAAUAUAUUGCGCCACAUCUUUAGAAUCAAUGGUUGAUUUUAGCACUUCGAAGCUUGGAACAAGAAACGUUGAAGCAAUCUCGACGGAGGUAUUGGAAAAAGGAGCCACCAUGUCCAUGCACAACUAUACAACAAUGCCGGGACUGAAGAAGUUGGCCAGUGACAAAGUCGUUGUGUGUCAUAAGCAGAACUAUCCCUAUGCUGUGUUUUUCUGCCAUGCAAUAAAACAUACAGCAGCUUAUGUUCUCUUCCUGAAAGGCGAUGAUGGGGAGAAGGUUAAAGCAGUAACCAUCUGUCAUCUAGACACAUCAGAAUGGAACCCAGAGCAUAUGUCCUUCCAAAUCGUCAACGUUAAGCCCGGAACCAUUCCCAUCUGCCAUUUCAUUUCCACUGAUGCUAUUGCCUGGGUUCCGAACCACAAAUCUGCAUGAUCAUCACUUAGCACUGUACGUAUAAUUAUCUCCUUACUUAUUUCUGCCUCUUCAUCAUGUGGUGUAAGAUAUAUGAUGAGAUGAAGUUUUUGGGAUUAGUGGUUGGGUUGCCUGAAAAACACAGAUUACAGAAACUGCUUGAAAUUAACCCGAUCAUGUUUUCUCUUGUAACUAUAUAGACUUCAACUUGUACUCAUAAUAAAGCAUGCUAUAUUUAUGAAGAGAUAUUAAUCUAUAUAUAUUUUUUAUAUAUGCUUUGGCUUUGUGGUUCUACCCAAUGUUUGAGUGUUGAAUUGUUACGUUGGAAUAGGCUGCUAAUGCAUGUAGUUAGAGAAGCCUUCAUUUAUAUCAAAGUCCUCAAACUAUCAAGAACUAAUGUAUCCAGAAACAUAUACCAAGACGCAAAACAACAUAUUUUCCAUGCUCUGUCUGUAACACCAAAGCAAACUUCCUUGAUCACAAAAGGAUCAAAUUCCAGUACUAAUCUAAUCCAUCAUGUAAAGCAUACAAGUGCCUCCCUAAAUACUAUACUCUUUUUGUUAUUUCCUACUAUACUAUUUAAGAUUUAAAAUUCAGGUCAACCCAUAGAUUUCUCGCCUUUUUCUUCUUCAUCUCGUCGGGCUUGUCUUCUUCUUGAGGAUUGUAUAGGCCAAGGAAAUGCUUUGAGUUAGUUUUUGCGCUUUUGCGUUUUGGGCCUUGGAAGUUGGGACCCAAACCAACUUCACAAAAAGAAAACGCUCAGACUAUAAUGAGUGGAAAGUUAUAAGGGGUAAGUUAUAAGGAGUUCACUUUAUAGCCAUCAGAUCAAUCUAAGGGCUGGGGAGAAUUGAGAUAAAGUUUUAAAAUCGGGUAGGUGAGGAACCCAAACCCGAAUUGAAUAUCCAGCACGUCCGAAAAAGAAGAAGAAGAGGCAAGCACGUCCGAAAAAGAAGAAGAAGAGGCAAGGUCGAAGUUUGAACAGAAAAAACUCAUCUCUUUAAAACCCAUAGCUCUGAGAAACGGUUGAAGGCAACGGUUAACGACGGUUGUUGAAGCCACUCCGUUCUCCAGACCCUGAAAAAGUAUUUAUUUUGAGUAGAAGGGGCAAAUGUGUGGAUUCCGAAACAGUGAAGGGGCGAAGCAGUGGAAGGGGAAGGAGAGAAGCCGUAUUCGUUGGAAGUGGUAGGUUCCAUUUGUGGAGCAAAGCAACACAAAGACCCCGCACAGACACCUUGCGAUUGUUCAAUAACCAGCAUUUGGUGAGUAAUUUAUGGAAUUUGAGUUUAGGGUUAGAGUAAUGGUUUUCCCCAAUUUGUACCAUCAAUUUUGUUGGAUUUGGCAUCUCUUCUUUGUGCUUCAGUUGCAUGUUAAUUUUUGCUUGGGUAUAUGUUAAAAAAAGAAUGAAAAUCAAGUCAAUAACAAGUGAAUAACAUGUCAAUAAUGAUAUGAAUAAGAUAAUGGUGUUGAAUUGGAGGAGGCCCUCAAAACAUUCCACAUUUGAAGCAGUGCAUAGUGCAGAUUAUCUCUCUGGCGCUAGAAUAUAUAUAUAUUUUGAAAUAAAUAUGAUUUCCUUUGUUACUAAAUUUGCCUGAGAAACAUGAGAACAGAUAAUAAUAAACUCAUGAAUAGAAGUGCAAAGCAUUUGAUGAGUAAUUUAUGGAAUUUGAGUUUAGGCCCAGGAAAUUCCUUGACCCCAAAAAAAAAAAAAAAGUUGAUUUAAAAUUCAGGUCAACCCAUAGAUUUCUCGCCUUUUUCUUCUUCAUCUCGUCGGGCUUGUCUUCUUCUUGAGGAUUGUAUAGGCCCAGGAAAUGCUUUGAGUUAAUUUUUGCAUUUUUGCGUUUUGGGCCUUGGAAGUUGGGACCCAACCCAACUUCACAAAAAGAAAACAGAUUUGCCAAAAAUCAAAUUUCAAGUCUCUCCUCCGAUCGAAAUUUGGAUUUGAUGAACUAAAGUGGUUUUACUUUCUCCAUCAGUGUUUGAUAACUUAAUUUGUUAUUUACUUUUUUUUUAAAAAACUUUGGCUUAUAUAUAUUAGUUUUCUUUUUUCCUUCAUAUUCACCACCUUUAUGUUGCAUAAGUAUUUCAGUCUUAAUGGGUUUCCAUCUACCACUCAUCUUUGCUCUUCUCAGUGUAAGCCUUUUUUUUUUUUUAAAGCACAAGAUUAGAGGGGAGGGGGAUUUCUCAAUGUAAGCUUUGCAGUUUCAUAAUUAAUAUUUCCAAUAUCUCACUGUUAGUAAAAUACAGAAAAAGUACUAAUAACAUAUGCACAUGUUACUAAUUUAUUGAGAUAAAACACCAUUUUGCCCCUAGAAUAUUUUAUUAGGUUUAAAGUUGACUUUUUGACCAGGAAGGAAUUUGGGUAUUUAGACUAUAUCGUUGCGUAGAGCAUGGCGAGAUGAGUCCGUAGACACAUGAUUGGCUCGAAUCAGAGUUAUAAUGAGAGAGAUACGAUCAAAAUACCCUCAGUGGUAUAACCGUAAUUUUGGCUUAAAGGGUUUGAUAAAAUAUAAUUUUUCUUUCUUUCUUUCUCUCUCUCUCUCUCUCUCUCUCUCUCUCCUCUCUCUCACGACGGCAGUGAUAGCCGGCCACUUUUUGGCCAGCCAUGCUCUCGUCCGGCCACUAAAGUUGACGGGGCCGGUACCAAAAUGACCGGGCCACCAUCCUUUUCCAACCCCAGCCAGGCCCCACUGCCAGCAGUCGUGAUUUUGCUGAAAAAUGGAGAAGAAGCGGCCGAUUUCGUUCGAACUUCUCCGACUUCGUUCUCUCUCCUCCGGCCACCGAUUUCGAUGAAUGAGGUAUGGUUUCUCACCUACUUUUUAUGCUCUAGCUGCCUGUUGGGUAGGAUUCGAUCAAUUCCUUGCGUAGGUAGCUUGAUUUUCGAAUUGGAUUUCGGCCGGUUUUGGGAUCUCGAUUCCGGCCACUUCCGGUCAGUUUUUGGGGUACAUCCCAAAACAAAAGUGGUUCUAAAUAGGGUGUUAUACCUAGGGUAGGAACCUUGAACCGUAAUUUUGAGAAUUUUCGGUGAUGCCUAAUCGCUUUGGACACCUACGCUAUGCCUGCGUGUGGGCACUAUAGAAAAAGGGCAUUGUGUCCCGAUGCAAUCCCCUUGUUGUCUUGAGCGCGUAGGUGUGCUCGGAUUUCAAUUUGGAUACCGUUUGAAUCUCGAACGAAUAUCGCAUAUUGUGCGUUAUUCGGGGUCGAUAGGUUUGAACUGUUGGAUAGUCUUAGAUUUAUAAUAUGUUAAUCUAGACAUUCUUAGGAUCGAAUGGGAUUAAACGGAUCGUAAAACGGAGUCCCGGAUACUCCAAAAAUGCCAACCCUAGGGCUAGGUUCCUAGUAACCGUCCGAUCGUGCGAUCGUGAGCGAUCCGACCGUUUGAUCCGAACCAAACUUGCAGGACGUGUAUCCUAAACCUUGUAGAACCCAUAGGAACUUUCGGAUUAGAAUUUGGAGGUCGUGGGCCCCUUGGGCCGUUUGACUAAGUUUGGGUAGUUUGACCCUUGGCUGAUCGUGAGUCUUCAGAGGUCUUGAGCGUUGUUGAGCUAUGUUGACUAGGUUUAGACUUUUAGAGUGUUUAUUAUUAUCAUAGGAAACUAUUAGAUAUUAUUUUAAUAAUUGAAAUUAUCAAAUUUAUGUUUAUGUGCAUGAUUGUUGGUCUAAAAAUAACAUUGUUUUCUUGAUAAAAUUACGUUGCAGUCUACUAUAGACUGGUAUCACUAAAUGGAGAUUACCUCUAUUAUUAGUUUAGAUAAUUAAGAGUAUGUCAGUUUGAAGUGCUAUAUGCACUACCCUAAGUACCACCCUGUGAUUGUUAGGUCCCAUGUGGUGUAGAUUAUACAGCGUCAGGACAGACCCCAUACGUGGCUUUGGAUGUUCUGGCGCAUGGGGGAGAUUAUGUAAUGGUUAGGUCAUACGUGGCGUAGGUUAUUCAGCGUGUUGACAGACCCUAUACGUGGCGUUGGAUGUUCCAGUAUGGAAAGAUUUUGUGAUUGUUAGGUCCCACGUGGCGUAGAUUAUCCGGCGUGAGGACAAACCCCAUUCGUGGCUUUGGAUGUUCCUGCGUAUGGGGGAGAUUAUGUGAUGGUUAGGUCACACGUGGCGUAGGUUAUUCGGCGUGUUGGCUAACCCCAUAAGUGCCGUUGGAUGUAACGACCGGUCCUAAAUAAAUUAGUGAAUAUUAAUUUAUUCAGAGAAAAUACCAUUUUGCCCAUAGAGUAUUUUAUUAGGUUCAAAGUUGACUUUUUGAUCAGAAAGGAAUUUGAGAAUUUCGAUUAUACCGUUGCAUAGAGCACGGCGAGAUGAGUCCGUAGACACGUGGUAUGCUCGAAUCGAAGUUGUAACGAGAGAGAUACGAUCAAAAUACCCUCAGUGGCAUAACCGUAAUUUUGGCAAAAAGGGUCGAUAAAAUCAUAUAUAUAUAUUUUCUCUCUCUCUCUCUCUCUCUCUCUCUCUCUCUCUGCGAUAUUGUCCCUCUCUCUCUUUGAUUCACUGCCAUCUGCCCACGGCAGGACUUGAGACUGGUCACGUUUGAACCGGCUCGAUGUCCCGAUCACGUCGCACCCAAAAUGCAAAUGGAAACCUUGAAUUCCAGCCACGGCUUCGACUGGUUUGAACUGGGUUUUUCCCGGCGUUGCGCCACCGCCUCCGCCGCCCAAUUCCGGUGAAACAGGUAUAAUUCCUCACCUAUUUUUCGAGAUCCAGCUGUUGUUGUGUAGGAAUUAGACGAUUUUCAUGUUUAGGAACUCGAUUUAGAAUUUAGGUUUUGGUCGAAUUUUCAAAGUGAAAUUUCGGCCACUUCCGCUGGUUUUUCGGGGUAUGUCUAAGAACAAAAGUGGUUCCAAAUAGGGUGUUAUACCUAGGGUAGGAACCUUGAGCUGUGAUUUUGAGAAUUUCCGGCGAUGCGUAUUCGCUUUGGACACCCACGCGCCGACAGCGCGUGGGCACUGUAGAAAAGGGGCAUUGUGUCUCAAUGCGAUCUGCUUGUUGUCUUGAGCUCGUAGGUAUGCUCGAAUUUCAAUUUGGAUACUGUUUGAGUCUCGAACGGAUAUCGCAUAGUGUACGUUAUCCGGGUUUGAUAGGUUUGAACCAUUGGAUAGUUUUGAAUUUGAUAUAUGUUAAUCUAGGCAUUUCUAGGAUCAUGUAGGAAUUCAGGGAUCAUGAAUCAGAGCCCCGGAUGUUCCGAUUUAAUAACUUAAAGUUUAUGUUUAUAAUAACUAUCAGAUCGUGCGAUCGUGAGCGAUCCGACUGUCUGAUCUGGACCAAACUUGCAGCACGUAUAUCCUAAACCUUGUGGAACAUAAAAAAAUUUCGGAUUAGAAUUUGGAGGUCGUGGGCCCCGUGGGCCCAUUUAACCAAUUAUGGGUAGUUUGAUCCUUGGUUGACCGUGAGUCUUCCGAGAUAGUUUUACCUUCCUAGGAGGAUUAUAAUGACCCUAGUGAUAGGUCUUGACCGUUGUUCAGCUAUGUUGACUAGGUUGAGACUUCUAGAGUGUUUAUUAUAUUAUUGUAGGAAACUCUUAGAUAUUAUUUUAAUAAUUGAAAUUAUGAAAUUUAUGUUUAUGUGCAUGAUCGUUGGUCUAAAAAUAAUAUUAUUUUCCUGAUAAAAUUACGUUGCAGUCUACUAUAGACUAGUAUCACUAAAGUGGGAAUACCUCUAUUAUUAGUUGAGAUAAUUGGGAGUAUGUCAGUUUGAAAUGUUAUACCCUAAGUACUACUCUAUGAUUGUCAGGUCACCCGUGGCGUAGGAUUUUCCGGUGAGAUGACAGACCCCAUACGUGGCGUUGGAAUUUCCAACGUAUGGAGAGAUUAUAUGAUUGUUAGGUUUCACGUGGCGUAGGAUUUUUCAGCGGGAUGACAAACCCCAUACGUGGCAUUGGAAGUUUCAGCGUAUGGGGAGAUGAUAUGAUUGUUAAGUCACACGUGGCGUAGGUUAUUUGGAGUGCUGACAGACCCCAUACGUGGCGUUGAAAUUUCUGGCGUAUGGAGAGAUGAUAUGAUUGUUAGGUCACUUUGGAUGUUCUAGCGUAUUGGGAGAUUAUGUGAUUACCAGUGAGAUGAAUAAAGGAUUGUUAUGUUAUAUUGGGAAAAACAUGUUUGUAGAAAGAAUUACGUGUGGCUUGAUCCCUCAGUAAGGGUACGUAGGCAGCCUAGGGUAGUGCCUUGGUGCAGUCGCUGACUAAACAUUAUAAUGUUGUUUUUAGGUUUGAUUAUAUGGUAUUAUGGGGCAAGGCCCCUAGGACUAUUGGUGAUAAUUCAUAGAUGGUAGUGGAUGCAUGCUAGAAAUUUGUAGGAAGUUAUUUCAUGUGGAUUGCAGUGGUACUCGUAAAAUUUAUUUGAGUUCCUUAAUUGCAUUGUUAAUAUAUUAAUUUACUUAAGAGUACUGCUAGUAGUUCUGCCUUGAUUUAUUUGAAGGCUGGAGGCCUUGUCUGGAAACUGUGUGCAAUUAGAUUGUGUGUGCUGGCAGUUGACUUUUUAAAUUGUGAAUUUUGUGCAGGUUGAAAUUUGGGAAAUGUUCAAUUUACAGGGGAGACUCUGCUGAAAUUUCGGUAGAAAGUCUUGUGCCCUUAUUCCUUUUUGGGGAAAAGGAUAUAGUUUUAGAAGUGGCGAUGUCGGGAAUUUCCACAGGAUUCGUCUCGGGUUUCGGGAAAUUCGGGGCGGGUCUGAAAAAGUUGUUUCAGUUUUGGCAAGUAUCGGAAAAGACCAAAAUUUUCCGACUUUAUUAUUACUAGAAACAAGGUCGAAGUAUUUACCAAUCAUGUGGCCUUCCAAGUGCUCUAGGUUAAGCCAGGAACCGUUCCUAUCUGCCGUUUCCUUCCCAACUAUGAUCAUGUUGUCUGGGUUCCAACCCACAAAUCUACAUUGGGCUACGUAUUUGAAUUUGUACUAAAGCGUGAUCUAUAGUAUGCAUAUAUUGGAUAAGUUUGAGAUCAGUGGCUUGGGUGUCCGCUGAGCUUGAACAAGUUUGGGUGUGCUGAGUGUUUCCAUGGGUGUGUUGAUGAUCAUGGUUAUUAGAUUUGUGAUAGUUUGGGCUCAAUUUCAACAGAACUCAUCUCAAGCCUAGAUAGUUGAUUCUUAAGUUUAUCAGGAAAAAAAAUUAAAAAUUAAAAAAUCUAAAGUUAAGCCCAAGGCGCCGAACUUGGACUUCUCACCAAACUGUGCAUAAAUUGAAAUAUUUAAUAGAAGCCCAAGAUUUUUGAAGCACAUAAUAUCUACAAAAAUCUACAAAGUGUAAUACUUUACAAACUUCUUAUGUGUACCAAUUUCUGCUCAAAUUAAUUUCUCUGUGGUGCUGAGAUUCAUCAUAAUUUUAGUAGAAAUUGGAAGUUUUCAUCAUUUUUGCUUUAAGUCUCUCCUCCACUCACUAAUAAAGAUUACUCAAGUGAGUUUACAAAACAUUUUUUUUCUACUCUCUCCUGAAGACUACACAUCUUCUCAAAAGAUUAGAUCACUUCACAUCUUGUAUAUGUGAAAACUAAUGCAAAAAGUUGAAACUUUAUCAUAAAACCUCGACAAAAAUUAGCUCUACUUAGAACAUUAAAUUUGGAUUCGUUGAUUUAAAUGGCAAUUUGACACUUCAUAGAAAUUUUUACAUACAUGUGUUAGUGUUUGAUCACUUCACUUAUUACUUACUAUAUUUAUUCCAUGAUUCUCCCUCAAGUUAUGUAAAUAUUAUUAUCAAACAUUUCAAUUCAUUUGUGAUAUUUCUUGUCCAUCUUUCAAUGUACCCUGAAAUCCAUUAGCCACAUAUGAUGACCAAAAUCCACACUCUGUUGUUUGCAAACGUUCAAUAUACGACUUGCAUCCACAGUCCUGACCCAAAUGAAAUGCGGAAACUGUCAAGCUAACUGUAGGGAGGACUAUAUUUGAUUUUACCUUAAAGACUGAUCCGAAACCACCUUCUCCAAGUUUAUUGUUGUUUGAAUAGUUUUUGGUUGCACAAACAACAGCGGCCAAGUCAAAUAAUGGCAAUUCCAGAUCUUCCUUUUGGCCGGGCUUCAGUUCUCCUGUGAAGUACGUAGUGAAGUAAAUAAUGUAGCAUGGAACCUUAGCUUAGAAACCAGAGAGGCAACAGCAAAAAUUUUCUAUAGAACUGAACCUACCUAUCUUAGAAAAUGAAGGGGCAGAAGAGUAGAAAAUCAAAUAGCUUACCAUAUUUUUGUUGCUGGUUCUUCCUCACAUAUAAUAGCAGGGUAAGGCCCAGGGUCAGCAGUCCAGUAGACAACACAGUACUGGUUACUAUGAUCUUUGUAUUGUGUCCUUGAUCUAGGAAUGAAGUAUUUGAAAGCAGAAGAUUGAGGAGUCAGAAAUUCAUAAAGAAAAAAUCUCUACUUUUUAUCAUCCAACGAACAAUUAAUGCUAGUUUCUGAGACAGUUCUAAAGAAAUAUUUUUCUAACAAUGUCAAAAGUUUUCUGGCUCUAUCUUGUUUCUAAUCAUGUCACUGUUGGAAGAUUUCUUUCUUCUUUUUUCCUUGGUGGCUUUUAUUUUUCUUUCAAACUUUGUUUUAAACAGCAAGAUGAUUCCAUACCUAGUUCUGACGAAGCCAUUCUUAUGUAAAUAUCUUGCCCAUUUAUAUUGGAAUAUCUUAUAUCAACCAGAUCGCUGAACCACAGCAAGGACCCCCUUCCUCCAUCUCGGAUAUCCAAAUUUGAAAAAGCGGCGCAGGAGCAGUUGUUCAUGCACAUCAUCUCACAUUCCUUGAGGUUCAUAAUUGUGUUAUACUAGGAUUGUUCUGUACUUUAUUUCACCCCAGUGUACUUCUUAAAGAUGUCUCCACUGCAAUUCAGUUGGCUCUUUCUCACAGAUCUAUAUGACCAAUCCACCAAGUCCCAGUCUUGUUGAAAGUCGGUAUAAAUCCUUUCAAGCAGCUACGUACUGGGGACUUGUCAAUACAACAUGCACCAUUCGGACCACAUAUUCCAUAUUUGUCGCAGAUAUCAGUCGUUGCUCUUAGAUAAACAACCCAACCUUGGUUUCCAUCACUCCCGAUGUAGCUCAGCCCAAAUCCAUCUUGAGUUAACGCCAGCCUGAAAAGAGUUGAGCUGUUGAGAAGCUUAUAACCAUAAUAUACUUCAUCAUCAUUAUCCAACACAAAAUCAUAUGUUGGAUUUAAAUUAUGCAUCCCACUAAAUUGGAUUCCAUUCCAUGGUGCAGUCCGAUAUUUUAUAACAGAACCCUCCCUCAGAAUUAAUUCAUGGUACCCAUAAGGACCAAGUUGAUAUGGGUAAUGUCCUUGAGAAGGAUCCUGGGGGCUUUUCCAGGGUGUAAGAUGCCAAUUAAAACCUGUGAUUUUGUUCCUAACAAGCUUCAUACCUGGUAUUAAUGUAUCUCCUGGGUAAUCAAAACUCUGCCAUAAAAUAUUAUCAGAGUCAUUACGACCAUUGCCAUCUAUCACAACAAGAUUUCCGGAAUCCAAAAUCUGUGCCACUGGAUUCUAUGAAGAACUUGAUGUGUUGGAAGACCUGUAGUGUUCUUUGUUGAAUAUUUGGAUUGCAAAGGGAGCAAGAAAUGUACUGAGAGAGAAAGAGAGAGAGAGAGAGAGAGAGAGAGAGAGAGAGAGAGCAGUGAGCCUUAGAUUGUUCUAACAGUUUUCUUACUCUGCAUGAACAUAGCAGCAGAGCUUAUAUUCCUUCAUGACUGUUACAUGUUCUCUCUUACAUCAGUAGAUUCAAAUCUAACGGUUUGUAAUAGUAAGCCAAUGUGAGUAUGACACAUGGCAAUACACAGCUGUCCUAACAGCUGGGAAUUCAAAACAGACUCUAGCAUUGCACCUGGCAUAUAAGCACAAGGCACUCAGCUAACACAAAGAUUAAAAACAGAUUGAAUAUAAACUGACAUAGAACUUACUAACUAAUCUGAAAUUAGCUAGACAGUUUACAUUUUAACACUCCCUUCUAAAGUGCUAGCUGAUUUCACUCCAAGCAUUCUCCUCAAAUAGUCAAACCUGUCUUUGGGAAGAGCUUUGGUGAAGAUAUCAGCAAUCUGCUCUUCUCCUUUGCAGUAGAGCAGUUCAAUCACUUCUUCUUGUAUUGCAUCUCUAAUAAAAUGAAACUUCCUUUUAAUAUGCUUGCUCCGUUGAUGAAAAACAGGAUUUUUAGCCAUUGCUAUGGCUGAAGUGUUGUCACAAAACACAGUUGUUGCAGUGGUCUGUUCUUCCCCAAAAUCUUCAAGAACAAACCUGAGCCAAAUGGCUUGUGAUGUAGCUUCUGCUGCACUCACAUACUCUGCCUCUGCAGUAGAGAGAGCCACACUGUGUUGUUUGACUGAUGCCCAUGAAAAAGCACCACUUCCAAAUGAAAAUGCAUAUCCAGAAGUGCUUUUCAUAUCUUCCUCAGAUCCACUCCAGUCACUGUCACAGUAACCAACUAAGAGUGCAGAUUUUCCUGUCACAUACUCAAUUCCAUAGUCAAUUGUGCCUUGUAUGUACCUUAGAACCCUUUUAGCUGCCCCAUAGUGCAUCUUAGAAGGGUUAUGCAUGAAUCUUGCAAGCAGGCAGGCAGAGAACAUGAUAUCUGGCCUGGUUGCAGUAAGGUACAGCAGGCUGCCUACAAUUUUUCUGAACAAACUUUCAUCUGCAGCAUCACUUCCAUCCUCUCUUUUCAAUUUAUCAGUAGCCACUAAUGGAGUGCUUACUGACUUGCAGUCUUUGAGUCCAAACUUAUCCAAGAGAGUGAGAGCAUACUUCUUUUGAUGAAUGAAGAUGCUCCCUUCAGUUUGUGUUACUCCCAUACCAAGAAAAUGGUGGAGUAAACCCAAAUCAGACAUCUCAUACUUGCACAUCAUUUCAGCUUUGAAUUCUUUCAUCAUUUCAUCUCUACUUCCUGUGUACACUACGUCAUCUACAUAGAUUGACACUAUUAGUGUUCCCACCUUCCUUUGUUCUCACAUAGAGAGUGGCUUCACUUGGACUUCUGUGAAAACCACACUGAUUCGAGUAGGUGUCAAUUUCACUAUACCAGGCCCUUGGAGCCUGCUUCAACCCAUAGAGGGCUUUUCUUAACCUAUACACCUUAUCCUCAUCAUCUUUAACCACAAAACCAUCCGGUUGAUCAAUAUAAACUUCUUCUUCAAGGACACCAUUUAGGAAGGCUGACUUGACAUCCAAUUGCCAUAGUUUCCAGCCUUUCUGAGCAGCAAGAGCUAUGAGAGUUCUAAUGGUGUCUAACCUUGCUACAGGAGCAAAGGUUUCAUUGAAAUCAAUCCCUGGUUUUUGUGUGUAUCCCUUGGCAACAAGUCUUGCUUUAUGUUUUUGAAUGGAGCCAUCAAGAUUAAGCUUAAUUUUGAAUAUCCACUUCACUCCCACAAUUGGUUUACUACUUGGCCUGUCAACCAAUUCCCAACUGGAGUUUUUCUCUAUCAUAAGUAUCUCCUCAGUCAUAGCCUUCCCCCAAGCUUCAUCUUUGACUGCUUCUUCAAAAUUUUCAGGUUCAAUGAUGCUCAUCUUGCAUUGAGCAUACACUUCACUCAAACUCUUCCAUUUCUUUGGGGUGUUAUCAUAAGUUUCUAAUGGAGCAGAGUCUUGAGUAGCAUGCACAUCAUUACUUGUUUGUGUUUCCAUAGGAGACUGUACAAUCUGUUGCUGUAACAGAUUUGGUUAUGAAUCCAAAUCUGAUACAAUUGAACUUACUCCAUCACCCCAAGACAUAGGGAUUUGCAAUGCCUCAUUGGUUUCCCAAUUCCACAUUGCUUCUUCAUCAAAAAUAACACUCCUAGACAGCUCAAUCUUUUGAGUUCUCAAGUUGAGCACUCUAUACCCCUUUUCACAUACACCAUAUCUUACAAAUACUCCCUUCUCACCUGUGUCUUCCAGCUUGUGCCUUUUCUGUGUGGGGAUGUGAAUAUAGCAUAGAGAACCAAAUAUUCUCAAAUGCUUGACACCUGGUUUUCUUCCACCGAACUUUUCAAAUGGAGUGGAAUUGUCCAGUGCACUUGUAGGACAUCUGUUCUGCAAAUAUACAGCUGUAUUGACAGCUUCUGCCCAAAACUUCAAAGGGAUUUUCUUCUCAUACAUCAUGGCUCUUGCCAUUUCCAUCACAGUACGAUUCUUUCUCUCUGUAACUCCAUUCUGUUGUGGAGAGUAGCCUACUGNNNNNNNNNNNNNNNNNNNNNNNNNNNNNNNNNNNNNNNNNNNNNNNNNNNNNNNNNNNNNNNNNNNNNNNNNNNNNNNNNNNNNNNNNNNNNNNNNNNNNNNNNNNNNNNNNNNNNNNNNNNNNNNNNNNNNNNNNNNNNNNNNNNNNNNNNNNNNNNNNNNNNNNNNNNNNNNNNNNNNNNNNNNGGUGUGGUCAUCAAUGAAGGUGAGGAAAUAUCUGUUCCCUCCAAGAGUGAUGGUCUGCAUUGGACCACAAAUGUCUGAGUGAAUCAGUUCUAGAGGUUGAGUGGCUCUCCAAGCUCCUUCCUUAUCAAAAGAGCUUCUGUGAUUCUUGCUUUCAGCACAACCUGAGCAGACCUUCUCAUGUUCUUGUAAAUUAGGCAUUCCCUGAACCAUAUCUCUCUCUUGUAACAACUUCAAACUAAUAUAGUUUAGGUGCCCAAAUCUUCUGUGCCACAGCCAGGAUGUUUCUCCAACUGUUGCUCUGUUUGCCAUAGGAGGAUUAACAUAGUCAAGAUUUAAAGGAAAACAUUUGUUUCCCUUCAUUGGCACUCUUGCAAUGCAAUCUUCCAACUGCCUAUCUCCAUAGAUAUCAACUGCAUUAUCACCAAAUACAAGCCAAUGCCCAUGUUCUAUCAUUUGACCUACACUUAGCAAAUUUUCAUCUAAACUUGGUACAAUCAUGAUUUCUUUGAUAUAUCUAGUCACACCCUUCAUUUCUAUAGCCAAAGUCCCUUUGCCUAUUAACUGCACUAGAUCACCAGUCCCCAUUUUGACUUUACUCUUCAUACUUUUAUCAACAUUUACAAGUAAUGACUCAUGGGAAGUCAUGUGAUUGCUGCAUGCACUAUCAACAUACCACAUAUUCACAUUCUUUCCAAUUGUUGCAGCAUGACAUGCAUAGAACAUAAUGGCAGGUUCAGUUACCUGAUUUGCAAUGUUAGCAAGUUUCCCUGCCUUGUUUGCUUGGUCACAGUCCUUAACAAAAUGACCAAAUCGAUUGCAGCCAUGACACUUUGGUUUUCCUUUAAACCAACACUCACCAUAGUGUAACUUCUCACAAUGUUUGCAUUUUCCAGAUUUGUCUCCUUGACUUGGUUUUCCCCCUUGAUUGGCACUGUUUUGGGGUUUAGAAUCCCAUUUCUUAUCCUUGGACUUCCAAUUCUUCUUUGAUUUAUUAGAGCCAGAACUAGAACUUGAUUGAGAUCCUUUUGAGUUUAUGCUCAUGCUGCUGAAAGCUUUCUCAGUGGUGCUUUCUGCAUGUCUGUCAAGGCGCUGAGCAAAACCUCUUAAUGCUGCAAUUACCUCCUGCACUUCAAUGGUUUCAAUGUCUCUAGUUUGCUCAAUCACAUAGCAGACUGGAUCAAAUUCCUUGGUUAAGCUUAUUAGCAGUUUUUGAACUAUCCUCCCUUUGGUCAGAUCUUCCCCAUAUCCCUUCAUCUGAUUUACAAGCUCAAGUAACCGAGUGAUGUAUCCAGACAAGAUCUCAUCAUCCUUCAUCCUGGUGUACUCAAAAUCUCGACGCAGACCCUGCAACAUGAUGGAUCUGACUUGCUUAUCACCAUGAAACUCCUGAUGCAAGAUAUCCCAAACACCUUUUGAGGUUUCUUCAUUUGAGAUUCUGGGAAAGAUGUCAUCUGAAACAGCACCUUGGAUAAUACCAAGAGCCUUAGCAUCUUUCAUCAACAAGGACACCAUCUCUGAAUCUGAUGACCCUUCUUUAUCAGCUUUUGAAUCUGGAACUUGAAGGCCUUUCUCAACCAAAUUCCAGAUUCCAUGAGAUUUGAAAAUUGUUCUCAUUCGAAUCUUCCAAAACUCAUAGUUCUCCCCAUUGAAUAUUGGAGCUCUAAGAUCACUCCCUCCUGACCCAGCCAUCUGAGACCAGACUCAAUGAGUUGAGAGUAGGAAAUUUCCCGUUGGAUUUCCAGACUCAGCUCCCACAGCUUCAACGCCCUCUAUCCAGAUCCAACCUGCGCACCUGAUACCAUGUUGAAUAUUUGGAUUGCAAAGGGAGCAAGAAAUGUACUGAGAGAGAGAGAGAGAGAGAGAGAGAGAGAGAGAGAGCAGUGAGCCUUAGAUUGUUCUAACAGUUUUCUUACUCUGCAUGAACAUAGCAGCAGAGCUUAUAUUCCUUCAUGACUGUUACAUGUUCUCUCUUACAUCAGUAGAUUCAAAUCUAACGGUUUGUAAUAGUAAGCCAAUGUGAGUAUGACACAUGGCAAUACACAGCUGUCCUAACAGCUGGGAAUUCAAAACAGACUCUAGCAUUGCACCUGGCAUAUAAGCACAAGGCACUCAGCUAACACAAAGAUUAAAAACAGAUUGAAUAUAAACUGACAUAGAACUUACUAACUAAUCUGAAAUUAGCUAGACAGUUCACAUUUUAACAUUCUUAUGGUCGGCAGGGACAAGAAUUCCAGGGCUGCUCAACUUGAAUACACCUGAUGAACCAGUGAGGGGUGUGUUUCUUUUAGUCUGCACUAUAUAUGCAGGGUCUGACUCUAAUUAGAAGAUAAUUGUAUUAAUUUGGUAAAGCUUUGUCUGUAACUGUCUCGCACCUUAAAAAAAUUUCACAAUUAGCAGCAUUGGCAAUACUUGAUUAGAAAGCAGAAACCCUACAGUAUAUAGUUAAGUUGAGUAGCUGGGAAGACAAUUAGUAAGCUUUCAAUACUAAAGUUGAAUAUUGGGGAGACAAAUUACUAGAGCUUCAAGUUCAGAUAAAUAGGAUGAAUUUCUCUUAAGGGAUCCCCUUUCACUGUAGCUUGGAGUAGAAUUCAUUUUGACACAAUAUCAAUUAUCAAUGUAAACACGUUACUGAUGCACUAUUGACAAUAUCGAUGCACGUCAUAUCAUAUUUGUGGGAGUAAAUUUCCUCACGAGAAUAUUUGGUUCAAAAGAUUCCCCUUUUUUUUUUUUUUGCCGCCUCUUUCUCCUUGCAAAAUAGAACAAAUAAGAGGACCACACCCGGGGGGUGUUGGCCAAAGGCCCUCCGAUGCUAAAUUAGUUCAAGUAUUUGUAAGAAAAAUACUAGCUAACUAGGGUACAGAGGUGUAUUUAAGGUGUAAACCGGGCAGCCGAAGUCUUAUGUAAAAGAGAGAGAGAAAGGAGGUGGCUAGCGUUUGAGAGGAAUUUUCUGCAGAGUUUUUAGUAGAGAUUUCAGACGUACCUCAACCAUUGUGUGUGGCCAUCUUUUUAUAGUGGUCUUGGAGGCUAGGGUUUCAGAGGAAUAAUUCCGUAGAUGGAAAGGAAUUAUUCCUCCCCUAUUUGGAAUUGAUUUGAUUAAUUAGGGAUUUGAUUUAUUAGGGUAAAUCAAAUCCCUAAUUGUGGUAGGUAUCAAAUCAAAUCCUUUUUUAAUUAGGUAACUCCUCAUUUAAUUGGGAAUUGUGGUAGGAAUCAAAUCAAUUCUCAACCUAAUUAGGUAACGUUCAAUUUAAUUGGGUAAUUCCCAAUUAAAUUGAGUAACUCCCAAUUAGGUUGAUUAAUUCCCAAUUAGAUCAAAUAAUCCCCUAAUUGAAGGAAUUAUUUGACCUAGGGUCUGAUUUAAUUCGAUUCCCACAAAUGCCCCCCAGCUUCUGCAUGGUGCAUGGUGGCACGUAGGAGAUGUAAAUUAUCUGUUGGGCUGUCCAGCUGUAACUGGGCUUCCUUCGUGGACCUGGGCUCCCGAGUAGAGGAGGUGUUUGACUUGCCAAUUUUAUGAACACCCAAUUGGAAAGGGUUUGAGAUUCCUUGUAGGUCAAGGAAUUUUGCUCCUUAUAAAUGUAGGGCUCCUCCAAAUUAUUCUCGACAUCAGAAAUCUACUCCUCCAAAUUUGUUAGUGAGAGAGAGAAGACUUUGGAGAAUUUUUCAGCGUGCUUGAGACUUCAUCUUUGCAGCCCAUCCAAGGUAAUUUGAUAGGAAGAAUUUUAUUUUGAGUUGCUAUGACUUUUGGCAGCAAGCUGUGAGACUAAGGGCAUGUCUUGAGGUGCGCGCUAGGGCUUUAGGCAUGGCAAGAGACUCGGAAAGGCUAGCAGGUUCGUUUCCACCUACGCUGGGCUCAAGGAGAAGGCAACAGGGCUUCAGGCCUUGUGGAUGAAGUGGGCUUUCGCUGGGAGCAAGAGGCCUGGAGCUGAGGCAAGGAGACAAUGGGCCUGGUACGAGGUGUGGGCUGAGCAUGCCAGCUUUGGAGCAAGGGGGCCAGGACGACUGCUGGGCAGGAGGUGCGCUGGGCUGCAUGCGCGAGCUGCGCCGAGUGCUGGCUGGAGGAGCGAGCUGGGCUGCGCGCUAGGCCAUUCAUGCUGGGCUACUUCCGUUUUUUUUUUGUUUUUUUUUAAAUUUUAUUUGCUGUUGCUGCUUUUUUUUUUGUUUUUUUGUUUUUUUUUUGUUUGGUAUUCUAACUCGUAAUUUUUUUUUUCUUCUUACAGCUACUUGUUGAUCAACCAUGUCUUCCGGAGAUGGUAGCAAGGCUCCAAGCUCUUAGGUCCUUUUGUAUUUAUGGGGAGGCUCCAUAGUGCAUGGCAAGAAGUUUGUGGUCAACUUGCAUCGCGUCACGACUUAUGCUCAGUUCCAGAAGUGGCGGGCCACUUAUGCGUCUGCCAUUCCAGAUGACGUGCUGGUCAAGCUAUUGAAAUCUCAAACUGAUAACGAGCCUUUGGUGGACGUGAGUGAUCAUGAUGCUAGGAUCAUUACCUUCCGUCCUUUUUACUUCUCUUUAGGCUUCAAAUUCCCGUUGUCAAAGCUCUUCAAGAAGGUGUUCUGUGCCAUGGGGUGUGCUCCGAGCCACUGUACUCAUGUGCUUCAAGAAUUUGAGUCGUUUCUUCAUGUUGGAGCUGACGAUGCGAGAGUUCUUUUAUUUUUUUCGAAGUGAGGCACUUUGAGCGGUACGCCCAAGUUCGUAUCUACAAGGCCAAGCUGUUCCACGGUCUCAGUCAAGGAGAUCACGCUUGACAUGAAGAUGUGUUGGAGGUCAGCAGACGGUGGGAGGGUGACGUCGGUGACGGCCCACCUGUUCCCAUCACCUAUUGUGAUGGUAUGUCUCUUUACGAUUUUUGAUAUGCUCCUUUUAUUUGAAUUUCUUGAAGUGUGGCAGACUAACUUCUAUCUUCUGCUCGUAGUGAGUGACAUUAGCAAGCAAUUGGAGCUCCGACCAGACAUGGCUAAGGUCCGUCGUGCUUUGAACAUCCCUCUAAGGUUUCACGAGUGGCGCUGGCUGUUGAGUGAGUACCGGGAGGAAGACGGUGGUUUUCUCCUUGCCGAGGAUGUCGAAAGGUGGAAGCAGAACGAUCCUGACCCUGAUGAUCUGCUUGGCAGACAGGAAGAAUGUUCUGCUUAAUCGCUCUUAAAGAGAAAGGCUGCUGCCAAAUCUUUGAGAUGUGAAGCUACUUCUUCGCAUGCAAAGGAUGGGUCUCCAUCGAGGAAGAAACCAAGGCUCCCUUCUGCUGAGAAGACUCAAGUGGGGUCUGCUCCCUCAUCAUCUGCCAGGGUUAAGCAUCUCGUGGGUGCAGAUAGCAAGAAGGUUGGUGGUAUGCAUGGUACUCGGGGUGUUCUGCCCAAGCUUCCUGCUGACACGCUCGAAAACCAUGAUAUACUUCGUGAAGUGGCUCGUGCCCAACCUAGUUCUGCCAAGCGUCAAAGAGAUGUAGACAUUCCUCCUAGAAGUUCGAGUUGUCUGCAUCGGUCAAAAGAUGGAGACCGAAGCGGGAGGUCUGCUUAUGAUCCAGCAUUAUUGACUCAUUUGGAGAUGAGGUUGGCGAAGGCUAAGAAGGUGAAAGAGUCAUCUGCCCGGGUUAAGGGUUCUUCCUCGGCGUUGGUAGUUGGUCCCAAGAUGAACAAGUCUAGCUCUGUAGGGGAUGCAUGCGUAUCUGAUCUGCUCAAGAUGAACUUCCUAUCAAACCCGUCCUCUUGUGUUGAGUUGGUUGAUCACAUCCCUCAAGCGGGCGAUCUAGGCACUUUCUCGUGCCUUUCCUUAGAAAAAUGAAGGAAAAUGACAUUCCAUCUGAUUCAAAAAGGACUGGUUUUUGCUACUGAGACUAUUUGGAACUCAUCUGCUAUUGCCCCUCUUCUGUCCAACUCAGCGAGUUGGAGAAGAAGAAUGCUGAUUGGCUAGACAGCUUUCCGCCGAGCAGGCCCGUUACGAGAAGAAGAUGUCUGAUUUGAGGGCGAUGAUAUCUGAGCUGAAAAGCUCCCUUACCGAGAAGGAUUUCGAGCUCAACUCUUCUGCUGCUGAUUUGGCUAGUCGAAAAGAUACCUUCUUUCGUCUUGAGCAUAAGAAUGCUGACAUCUUCCUUAGCUAUAACAAACUCCUGGCUAGAUUUCAUGCCUACCAUAAGUCUGCUAAAGAAUCCAAGACAGAUGGAGCUGCUGAAGGCGUAGCCGGUCAGGUGGAUGCCGAAGAGGCUGCAGCUUAAAAGUCUUCUGCUGGCGUCUCAGAGUAGAUGAAGACUCUUUUUUGUUUCUUUUCAGCUUUUGUAGUUUGCUUUAUUGUUUAGAAUAACUGGUCUUAUUUGACCAUCUUCUUUUUGUUGAACUUGGCUGGUUGGUCUGUUUGUUAGGGAAAUUUCAGUUACAUUUUCCAACUUCAAUUUGCAUAUUUGACUUGUGAACUGCUUAAGUAACCAGCCUGUGUUUUGAUUGCACAUCCCCCUUUAGAGAUUUGUGAGUACCAGGGUCCCCCUUGGAGGACUCCGGCCAUGCACAGUAUAUCUCGUAGGAUGGUUCCCCUUAGGAAGUUGGCGAGUACCAGGGUCCUCUUUGAGAGACUCCGGGUGUGUUCUGCACAUCCCGUAUGAUGCCUUAAUCGUCGCCUUGCUUCUCCCGUAGGACGCUGCUUAUAGGCAACUAUAUGACUAUCCUGCCUUUCUUAGGAAACGGAUAGGAACCUGGAUAUUUCCCGCAUGAAGCAUGGAGACCUCCUUUUAAGAAAUUUUUGGUGCACCAUGCUUCUCCCUUAGGACGCUUUUUUCGCAGGCUGGGUCUCCAAAUGGACGCUUUUAGUCGUUGCCCUGCGUCUCCCUUAGGACGCUCCUUAUGGGCAACUGUGUGACUAUCCUGCCUCCCUUAGGAAAUGGAUAAGACUUGAAUAUUUCCCGCAGUAAGCAUGGCGACCCCCUUUUAAGAAACUCCUGGCGUACCCUGCAUCUCCCUUAGGAUGCUUUUUAAGAGGGCUGCUUCUCCAAACGGACGCUUUUAGUCGUUGCCUAUGUCUCCCCUAGGAUGCUCCUUAUGGGCAACUGUGUGACUAUCCUGCCUCCCUUAGGAAACAGAUAGGAAACUAGAUAUCUCCCUUAGGAAAUUCCUAGCGCACCUUGCGUCUCCCGAAGGACGCUUUUUUAGCUGGCUACGUCCCGAAACGGACACUUUUAGUCGUCGCCCUGCGUCUCCCUUAGAAUGCGCCUUAUAGGCAACUGUGUGACUAUCCUGCCUCCCUUAGGAAACGGAUAGGAACCUGGAUAUCUCUCUUAGGAAAUUCCUGGGGCACCUUGCGUCUCCCGAAGGACGCUGCUUAUGGGAAAAUAUUGUGUUUCGUGGGCAGAUGAGACAUUUUGGAAUGAGAAACUGAACUUAUAUUGAUAUUCAUAAGAUUACAGUCCUUUAUUUGAAAAUGGAAAUAACUUGGUUCAAAAACUUAGAACUUCUAGCAGCUACGAGGAAGCACUAUGGAUAAUACUUUCGGAGAUGGUGAGCAUUCCAUUGUCGUGGUAUUUCCUUCCUAUCCAUGGUGUCCAGUGUGUUGCUUCCUCUGCCCCGGACCUGCUGAUCACAUAAACGCCCUCCCAGUUAGGAUUCACUUUUUUUGACCCGUGUCUUGGUGCAGUAAUGAAAGCCUUAGCACGAGGUCGCCUGGUUGAAACUGUUUGACCUUAGCUCUUUUGUCGUAGUAAGACUUCAACUGCUAGUGAUAGGAGGCGACCCGAAUAAUGGUCUUCUCACGCCUGCCCUCAAGUAAGUUGAGGUUGAGCCUCAUCUGCUCGGAGUUCUGAUCAACACUGCCUACCUUAAGACUUAUAGAGAGGACAGUGAUGUGAGGUGGUAUGAUCACUUCUGUUCCAUAGGCGAGAGAGAAUGGGGUUUCACCAGUCGAUCUUCGCUUGGUGGUGUGAUAAACCCAUGGUACUCUGGGGAGUUCAUCCACUCAUUUCCCUUCAGCGCCUUCCAGCCUUUUCUUUAAGCAGUCCAAUAUGACUUUGUUGGAUGCCUUGGCUUGUCCAUUUCCUUGUGGAUACCUCGGGGUGGACAAGUGUUGUUUGAUCUUGUAUUUCACAAAAAAAGCGGUGAUCUGCUUGCCAAUGAACUGUGAGCCAUUGUCGGUAACCAACGACUGUGGGCAGCCAAACCGGCAUAUGAUGUUUCUCCAGAUGAAUCACUCCACAUCGGCUUCUUUAGUAAAUGAUAGAGCUUCGGCCUCGAUUCAUUUAGUAAAGUAGUCGGUGGGGACGAUCAUCAUUUCUUUCUUGGCGGGCGCUAGUGGCAAGGGAUCCACUAGGUCGAUGGCCCAUUGCAUGAACAGCCAUGGACUGUUUUGCGGAUGAUAGACUUCGGCAGGCAAGUUAGGGAUCGGCUUGUAUUGCUGACAGCGUCACAUUUCUUGGCACAUUCAGCACAGUCGUGACGUAUGGUAGGCCAGAAGUAGCCUAUGUUUAGAACUUUCUGGGCGAGUGACCUGCCCCAGAAUGGUUGCCAUACUCGUCGUCGUGAAUUUUACAGAUAAUCUCAAGUGUUUGAUGGUACUUUAUGCAGGUGAGAUGAAGGCCGGAGUAUGAUCUGUGGAUGAGCUUGUUGCCGUGCAUGUAGUAUCUCUCGGCCUUUUGCUGGACUUUUCUAGCUUCGGACUUGUCCGUUGGCAGGUUUCCAUUCGUGAAAUAGUCGAUGAUGAGGUCUUGCUAGCUGGGGUCCUCGUCAAUCUGCAUGGUAUUAAUCGGCUCUAUUUCUUCAAUGCUUGGUCGGUCAAGGUGUUCGACCUAGAUGGAGUGUUUGAACUGGGUAUCCAGCGUUGAACCUUGGCUUGCCAGUGCGUCUGCAUGCGCGUUCUUUGCCCGGGACACUUGUUGGAUAGUGAAGGUAGGAAAUGCCUUCAACAGCUCUUGGACUCUAUCAAGGUAUAAGAUCAUCCUUGGGUGCUUUGCCAUAUAUUCACCUGAGGCUUGAUUCGUGAUCAACUGUGAGUUUGAGUAGAUGGCUAGCUUUUUGAUUGCGAGCUCCUUUGCCAAGCGUAAGUCGGCGAGUAAUGCCUCGUAUUCUACCUCGUUGUUCGAGACCGAGAAGCCAAGCGUAAUAGCUUGCUCUAACAGGGUUCUAUCCAGGGUGGUGAUAACGACCCCUGCUCCAGCUCCUUUUUGGUUCGACGCUCCGUCUACACGCAACUGCCACAUGUCUCUGGGAUGGCUUGGUUCUGCGGAGGUCCUGUCUGCUUUUGAACUUCCCUCCUUUUGGUUGACUAACUUCUCUUUUUUGGCUGAUGGGGUGAAUUCUGCGACGAAGUAUGCUAAAGCCUGGGCUUUUAUUGCAGUUUUUGGCCCGUAGAGGAGGUCAUAUUGGCUUAGCUCUAUAGCCCACUUCAUGAGUCGCUGAGAAGCAUCAGGGCUGUGGAGGAUUGAUCUCAAAAGAAAGUCAGUCAUGACUAUGACUCGAUGAGCUUAGUAGUAGGGUCGCAGCUUUCUCGCAGAAACUACAAGAGCCAAAAUAAGUUUCUCCAAUUUCGGGUAACGAGUCUCUGCAUCGAGGAGAGCUUUUGACGUGUAGAAUACCGGAUAUUGGGCCCCUAUCUCUUCUCGGAUGAGAGCUGAACUGACAGCUGAGUUGGACUUACCUCACUAGGGACUGGAUUUGAGAGCAUGGAAGGUGAGGUGAGGUAAGUCUUCAGAUUAUGGAAAGCUACUUUGCAGUCCUCAUCCCAUUUCUCUCUUUGUCCUUUCUUCAAAGCUUUGAAGAGUGGUCUGCACUUGUCGGUUGAUCUCGAGAGGAAUCGGUUGAGAACCGCUGCUUUGUCCGUCAGACUUUAUAUCUCUUUCACCGUGGAAGGCGACUUCAUCUCUAGAAUGGCUUUGAUUUGACGUGGAUGUGCCUCGACACCUCGUUGCGUGGCUAGGUAUCCCAAGAAUCGGCCGGAGGAUACACCAAACAGGCAUUUACUUGGAUUCAACUUCAUGCGAUACUGGCGGAGCAAGCUGAAUGAUUGGGUAAGACUUCCGAUGUGAUCUGCACGUUUUGGGGCUUUGACCAGCAUGUCAUCCACGUAGACCUUCAUAGUUUUGCCGAUCUGCUUAUUGAAGAUUUUAUUCCCGAGCCUUUGAUAGGUUGCUUUGGCGUUCUUCAGCCCAAAGGGCAUGACCUUAUAGCAGCAGGUCCCUCUCUCGAUGAUGAAAAAAGUUUUUGCCUUGUCAUCCUCGUGCAUCAGGAUUUGUUUAUAGCUGGACUAGGCGUCCAUGAAGCUAAGCAGUUGAUUGCCAGAAGUGGAAUCCACGAGUUGGUCGAUUCUCGGCAAUGAGAAGUUGUCUUUAGGGCAUGCUUUGUUGAGGUCUGUGUAAUCGACACAAACUCUCCAUUUGCCAUUUUCUUGUUUUGCCACCAAAACAACGUUGGCAAGCCACUCUGAGUAGGAGGCCUCUUCGAUGAAGCCGACAGCUAGGAGUUUGUCAAUCUCGGCCUCGAUGAUAGCAAGUCGCUGGGGUGCGAAGUUGCGUCUCUUCUGCGCCACUGGCUUGCAGGCAGGGUUGAAGUGGAGUCAGUGACAGAUGAUGUUCUUGUCGAUGCCAGACUUGUCUGACGGCAACCAUGCGAACAUGUCUCUGUUGCUCUGGAGGAAGGUGGUAAGCUCCACAUUCUCUUCUGGCCUUAGGCGCGAACCGAUCCACUCUUUCCUAUCUGGUUGGUCAGGAUCCAAGGGUAUUAACUCGACGUCCUCCUUGGGUUUCCAUCCUUCUUCAGGAAAGACCUAUGGACGGAUUUCCUCGACUUGGUCCUGACGCUUUAAUUGCUAUAAGAUAGCAAGAUCCAGUUGCUCAACCUCCUCCAGAUCUGCCUGGCUCACAGGGAGAAACUGCGCUUGUUUACCUUUCUUUAGCCCUUGGGCGGAGCAUUUCCUCGCCAUUGCCUAAUCGUUGUUGAUUUGGCCGACACCGCCCCCAAGGAUUGGGUACCGAAUUUUCUAAUGUGUGGCGGAGGUGAUUGCAUUAAUUUUGCCAAUCGAUGGUCUGCCCAGAAUGCCGUUGUAGGGUAAGACCUUAUUAAUGACCAUGAAGGUUAUGAGCUGAUUAUAAGUGGGGAGUAGACGUCGAGGUCUAUCAUGCCCACGGUAACCGUUGUUGCACCAUUAAAAUCGCUCAGCAACCUAGCUAAUUUGUAAAUCUUUGUCUCCAAUCCCAUCUGUUGAAUGACCUCCAGUUGCAGGAUAUUGGCUGCGCUGCCCUCGUCUGUGUGGAUUCAGUCUACCAUGACCUGAGCAAUUUGAAUGCUGAUGACAAGGGCUUCGUUAUGUGGCAUGUAGAGGCCGAUCAGAUCUUUCUUUUGGAAGCCGAUUACAGGAUCGUCUUCUGCUGGUGGAAGGUCGGUCGAGAUUUGGGAGAUCACAGUGGUCUGUUUGAUCUUCCUCUUUUUUUCCUUUCUGGUCAGCCCAGACUCCUCGGAGUCAGCUAGGAUUGUGUUAAUUCUUAUGACCUUCUGAGGCGGCUCCUUGGCGAUGUCACGAUCUUCUAUCCGCUGGAUGACCUUCUUUGCAAUGAAUUCUGUGCAGUGACCUUCUCUCACGAGUUCUUCAAGAUGUGCUUUCCAAGCGAAGCAGUUGUUCAUAGUGUGUCCGUGCAUUUCAUGGACGGCACAGUAUUUGCUAGUAUUCCUUUUGUCCGGAUCUUCUUUCAAGGGUGGUGGUCUUCUUACCCAAGGUUGUUCUUCACUUGGGCUAAGAUUUGAUGUAUGGAGAUGGUGAACUUGGUGUAGUUCUCUCCUGCCGUAGCAUCCCCUUAUGGGUGCGACCUGCGCUUGUCCUUGUCCCUGUUGCUAAAUCCGUCGCUUCUUUGGCCUGCCCCCUUAGUCGGCUGAUCUUCCUGCUUAGUAGAGUUCUUUGCGGCGAUUCGAUCGUCAUCCCAAAGCGCAUAGCUUUCCGCGGUCUCGUAGACCUCUGCCAAAGUUUGGCUGGGAGUGAUGGUCAGCUCGUGGUACAAGUCGUGCUCAGUCGAAAGGUCUUUCUUGAAAGCAGAGGACGCAAUUUGGUCAUCACAUCCUACAAUGUUGGCCUUUUCUACUUUGAAUCUCUUGAUGUAAUCUCUAAAGGAUUCGUCGAACUUCUUGCGCAGGUUAUACAGGUGGUCAGGGUUCUUCUUGAUUGUUCGGUAAGAGGUGUAUUCUUUGGUGAAUAAGUAAGUCAGCUCCUUGAAGCUGCUGAUCGACCUGGAUGGCAGAGUAUGGAACGAGUCUUGGGCUUCCUCACAAGGUCAUUGCAAACACCUUGCACAUCAGCGCGUCGUCAACCUUGUGGAGGAUCAUGACACUUUUGAAGUGUUUUAGAUGGCUCUCAGGAUCGGAAUCCCCCUUGAAGUGUGUGAAUGUGGGCGUUGAGAAUCGCUUCAGGAGAGCAGCCUGCUCGAUUUUGGCAGUGAAAGGUGUAGAGUAUGCCUGGUCUACCUCAUUUCGUACAUCUUCGAAAUUUCCACCGGUCUUCAAGUCUCGAAGUUGGUCAUUCACAAGCUUCUCUACGUCUUCCGCACACAUUGCUUGUCGGCCACAUUGGCGACCUUCACGAAUUGUUCGAUGCUGACUGACUUCCUCGUUGAUUUCCGAGGAUCGACCUUCUUGUCUGCAUUGCCUAGGUGGAGUGUUGGUGGAUUGCGCCUACGAAAGAUUCUCUGUGGCUUGUCAAUGAGAAUCGGUUCUUCGAGAGUGAGUAACGAAGUGCCUUUCCUCAUGGUCCUUAUUGUGAGGGUUAUCCAGCUGACCUCCCUGGGGCCUAGCCUUUCCUGAAUGCUUCUCUGCGAGUAGACAGUUGAAUGCUUUUCUUCACGAUCCUCGUUGUGAUGGUUGUUUGGCUGACCUCCUUAGGGUCUUAGCCUUUGAUGUACAUUUCCCUGCCUGCCCAAGUAGGUGCGGACGUCGAGUCGUGGGCCCAGCCUUUCGUGCACGUCGUUCCUUAAACUCAAUCUGCUCUGAGUGUGGCUUGCAGAUGCUUGCGACAUGUCGGCAGGUCGAUCACGUUGUUGUCCCUCGACUUGUCUGCCCACUCUUGCUUGACCUGCUUGGUACUCGUUGAGCUGUCUACCGGCCCGUUCAUCCUUCCUUCUUUCCUCGCCUGGUUGUCCAAGGCCAAGGUUUUGAGCAAAGCUUAUUUGGUUGAGGAGCUGCCUCAUUAGAUUGUUUUGGUCGUCCAUUCUUUAAGCUAGCUGGUCAACUCUCAGAUUAAGGUCUGCUUGAUUUCAUGGAUCAGGAGGAGAGAAGUGUGUGGAGCUCAACUGCACAUAGGCUAGGGUUUCAUUAGAGGUGUAUGCGGGAGCGUGUGUCGAGCGUGGAGGCAAUAGAGGGAAUGCUUGGAGUUGCUCCAAGACCGGCCCUAGGUCGGCGGUGGUAACGAGUCCACCUUGAUGGGAAGUUCCACCAUGUUUGGCGGCAGUGACCGAUGCAGUGGUGAGAGGUGGUGGUGCCACCAUGUCGAUCGCGGGAUCGUUGGUGGAGUGGCUUUGGGCCGUCGCAAAUCUAGCCAUCAUGGCGGCUUUGCCUCUCGUGUUCAUGCUUCCAACCAUGGUUGUUUGGAAGGCUUAGGUGGAUUGGAAAAUUAGAGGAACGGAUUCCUUGAGCACGCAUUGAGUAUAACUCGUGCUCUCAAUGAAAGCACCAAUUUGUGGGAGCAAAUUUCCCCACGAGAAUAUUCGGUUCGAAAGAUUCCCCUUUCUUAUUCGCCGCCUCUUUCUCCUCGCAAAAUAGAACAAAUAAGAGGACCACACCCGAGGGGUGUUGGCCAAAGGCCCUCCGAUGCCUAAAUUAGUUCAAGUAUUUGUAAGAAAAACACUAGCUAACUAGGGUAUGGAGAUGUGUUUAAGGUGUAAACCGGGCGGCCGGAACCUUAUGUAAAAGAGAGAGAGAAAUGAGGUGGCUAGGGUUUGAGAGGAAUUUUCUGCAGAGUUUUUAGUAGAGAUUUCAGACGUACCUCAACCAUUGUGUGUGGCCAUCUUUUUAUAGUGGUCUUGGAGGCUAGAGUUUCAGAGAAAUAAUUUCGUAGAUGGAAAGGAAUUAUUCCUCCCCUAUUUAGAAUUGAUUUGAUUAAUUACGGAUUUGAUUUAUUAGGGUAAAUCAAAUCCCUAAUUGUGGUAAGUAUCAAAUCAAAUCCUUUUUUAAUUAGGUAACUGCUCAUUUAAUUGACAAUUGUGGUAGGAAUCAAAUCAAUUCUCAACCUAAUUGGUAACGUUCAAUUUAAUUGGGUAAUUCCCAAUUAAAUUGAGUAACUCCCAAUUAGGUUGAUUAAUUCACACUUAGAUCAAAUAAUCCCCAAAUGGAAAGAAUUAUUUGACCUAAGGUAUGAUUUAAUUCGAUUCCCACAAUAUUUAGAUGCAUAAUUGAAUGCGAAUAAACAUCACUCUCUCCAGUGUGAAAUGGCGAAAAUUCUCUUCAAUCAAAAGUGGGCUUACUUCAAAUUUAGUUGAAGAAUGAUGGUGUGUCUUGCCUGACAAUUGACAAUUAGGUUUAGGAGCGUUCCUCUAGUAGAAAAAUCUAAAUCAUUUGUGGUCAUCCACUCACUUGGUUAGUCUUCCAGAAUCAAAUACCAAAUCAACCCAAAGGAAGCUGCAAUUUUCUGAAUUGUAUACUUGUUUUAAUUCUUCCUAUCUUUUUCUCUCUUUCAUUUUUUUUGUCUCCCUCAAGUUAAUACUUAAGUGAGUUGCCAAAUGGGGGUAAAAAAGAGAGUAGAAGAGAUGAACCCCACAUUUGACUUUAAUAGACAAAUGCCCAAGAGAAGUACCAGUAAGAGCAUCUCCAAUUGGGAGGUGCUAUCCUAUAAUUUGACACACAUUUCUUUUUUCUUUUUUUUCAAUUCUAACAACAUGUCAUCUAUAUCGCAAUAGGCCGUUGUAGUUAAAUUUUCAAAUAACCAAGUUGCUCUCUAUUUUCCAAAGAAGACUAGAAAACAACUUACCAUCUAUCUGGUGCUGCUUCUUCCAAACAUUAGAAAAAACAGAGCUACACCCAGGAGGAGCCCAGGAGAUGACACAAUACUGCCUACUAUGAUUCUUACUUUCUUCACAUUCAAUGAGACUAUAAAAUAUAACCCAAGUGGUCUAACCCCCCAGGGCGGAAAUUGGGUUUAGCAAGUUUAGCACUGAUUGUUGUAUAGUCUUAAACAGUCCUGAUCUCUUGGACCCCUGUAGUCCAAGAGAUUUAUGGUCACCCACCGUUGGAUGUAAAUUCAACGGUUGACUUGAAUCGGGUAAUAAUAAUUUAUGUCAUAUUGCAUUUAUAUAUAUCAUUUUGAACCAUUGGAUUAAUAUCCAACGGUGGGUGACCACAAUCUCUUGGACUCCUGUGGUCCAAGAGAUCGGGACUGUAGUCUUAAAAUAAGUAGUUUAGCGAGUGCAAACUUCGACUUAAAAAAACUCUCAUGUAUAGCCGCGCGGCUAUACUAUUUACAUAUAAAUAUAUAAAAAAGCACCCCCUAGUCACGUGUCACAAAUAGUAUAGUCGAAAACAGUAGAGCCGCGCGGCUAUACUGUUUUUAAAAUAAAAAAAACCAUAUUCGAUUCUCCUUAUAUUUAAAAGGGGUAUAGCCGCAUGGCGAUACUAAUUUUUUUUUUUCAAAAAAAGGGACCCCAGUACUCCUUUUAUAUAUUAUAAUAUAUUGUCUAAUAUUUGGAAUAUUUACUCUAAAAUAAACAAUAUAUUAGGUUCUUUUUGUCUACAAAUUGACCAUUAAACUUCUUAAUCACUCUUAUACUUUCAAUUAAAUCUACUAGGCUAGGUUAUGAUAUUUUCACUAAAAAACUCCUCCUUUUUUUCUUCUCUUUCUCUUCCUGUUUUGUUUAACUUAAGCUUAAGUUUUGUAAUUUUUUUUCCCGCCCUUUUUACAUGUUUGAGUAGGGUACUUUAAUAUUGGGAUUUAUGAACUUUUUUUGUAUUUCUUCUUUAUAUUGGAAUAUAAAUUAUUAACUUUUGAGUCUUUAAUAGUGUAGAUGAUGAGAUUAUUAUUCAACCAUUUUAUAAUAUGAAAUGAAGGACAAUCAUGAUUGUGAUGAAUGGAUUAUUAAUCAAUAUGAAAUGAUAUUAUGAAGUGGGCUAAAUCGAGUAGUUAGUAUCGUAUUGUUGAGACCCAAAAAAUCCAAGGCUAGGCCCAAAUAUAUUAUGAAGUGGGCUAAAUCGAGUAGUUAGUAUCGUAUUGUUGAGACCCAAAAAAUUCAAGGCUAGGCCCAAAUAUAUUUCCGGUCCAAUGCGAUACCUUACCGAGAAGAAACCUUAUUUGGGCACGCGAAAGUUCGUCAUAUGCUCUUGCACACAUGCCAUGCCAAGCAAAUAAGCAACAUGCCACGCUACAAGCUUAAGUGGGCCCAAGCCACGUGAAUGCCUAGGGCCUGCUGAGUGGGUUGUGGUAUGGAUGGUUAUGAGUAUUCACGAGGCCCAUUGAUGGUCUAAGGAGUGGAAGUUUUGGGCUACUUGGGAGCACCAAAACUCAAGCCCAUUCAUUGAGCCCAAACAUAUGGGUAAGCAUGAGAUAAAACCUAGUAGCCCAUCACCUUAAGAAAUCCUAAUAGCCCAUAACAUGUGAGAAAAUCCCACAUCAACCAAAGCUUCCAGCAGUCUGACGAAAUCAAAGGGAACUCACAAGCCGUUGGAAACAAAACAACCCAACACUGUAACACCCCGACCCCAAAUUUCCCCAAAUUUAACCCUUAUUUAAUUAUUUAAGGGUAUUUUAGUCAUAUUUUUAACCGGAGAGAGUUUGGGGCAAUGACUAGUAUUUUUGGAUAGGUCGUACUGAGACGAGUUUAUGGACACGCAGUGAGCUCGAAUCGGAGUUGUAACGAGAGAGAUAUGGUCAAAAGAAGCCCAGUGGCACAAUCGUAAAUAUUUUGAAAUGAGAUUUUUUAUAAAAAUCUGGUUUUCUCUCUCUCUCUCUCUCUCUCUCUCUCUCUCUCUCUCUCUCUCUCUCUCUCGCUAGCGACCUCUCUCUCUCUCCCCCGUCGGUCUCUCCCCUCUUUCUCCUCGUAACUCCGGCCACCGGCCCCGGCUGUGGACGGGGCCGGUACCAAAAUGACCGAGGCGUCGUCCUCUUCCUACCCCAGCCACCUCCCACCGCCAGCCGUCGCGGAUUCGCCGGAAUCUGGAGAUGAAGCGGCCUACGUCGUCCAAAUUUCAAAGCUGCCGAUCUCCCUCCUCCGGCCACCAAUUCCGUCGACCCAGGUAUGGAUUUUGAACUUCUCGAGCUGCUCUAGCUGAUGGUUGGGUAGGAUUAGAUCGAUUCUUAGCUUAGACAACUCGAUUUUCAAAUUGAAAAUCGGCCGAACUUCGGCUGCCGUGAUCGGCCAUUUCCGGCCACUUUUUGGGGUAGGUCCAAGAACAAAAGUGGCUCCAAAUAGGGUGUUAUACCUAGGGUAGGAGUUUGGAGCCGUGGUUUUGAGAUUUUCCGGCGAAGCGUUAUCGCUUUGGGCACCCACGCGCUGCCGGUGCGUGCGGCGGCGCGUGGGCACUGUAGAAAAAGUAGCACUGUGUUCCGAUGAGAUCCUUAGGUUGUCACGAGUGCGUAGGAUUUUGCGGAUCUCAAUUCGGACGUCGUUUGACUAUCGAACGGAUAUUCGCAUAUUGCGCGUUAUUCGGGUUCGAUAGGUUGGGACCGUUGGAUGGACCCAAAUUUAAUAUAUGUUAAUCUAAUUAAUUCUAGGAUCGUGUAGGAAUUCACGGAUUGUGAAUCGGAGCCCCGGAUGUUCCGAAUAAUAAUUUUAAAGUUUGUAUUUUAUAUUAAUUGUCAGAUCGUGCGAUCGUGAGCAAUCUGACCGUUCGAUCUGAACCAAACUUGCAGGACAAGUGUCCUAUACCUUGUAGAACCCAUAGGGACCUUCGGAUCGGAAAUUGGAGGUCGUGGGUUCCGCAAGUCGGUUUGACCAGGGUUAGAGAAGUUUGACCCUUGGUUGACCGUGAGUCUCCCGGAGUAAUCUCACCUUUCUAGGGGAGAUUAUCGGGUACUAGAUGAUUGUGGACACAAUAUUAGAAUUAAUUUAUAUAAUUAUAAUUAUAUAUGGUUGUACAAGGGUACAACAGAGUCUAGAAUGUCAGUUUGGAGUGCUAUACGCACUACUUUAGGUACCUCCCCGGAUGUUGGGAUUUACUACAAGUACCACCAAGUGAAAUUGAGGUCCCGCGUGGCGUAGGUUAUCCAGCGUUGGGAUAGGUCUCAUACGUGGGGUUGGUUGUACCGGCGUAUGGGGAGAUUUGUGAUAUUAUGUUCAGGUCUCACGUGGCGUAGGUUAUCCGGCGUUGAGACAGGCCCCAUACGUGGUGUUGGUUGUACCAGCGUAUGGGGAGCUAUGUGAUAUUGUGUUGAGGUCGCACGUGGCGUAGGUUAUCGGGCGUGUCGACAGACCCCAUACGUGGCGUUGGUUGUACCGGCGUAUGGGGAGAUUUGUGAUAUGAAAUUGAGGUCCCACGUGGCGUAGGUUAUCCGGCGUUGGGACAGGCCCCAUACGUGGCGUUGGUUGUACCGGCGUAUGGGGAAAUAUGUGAUAUGAUGGCAUGGUCGCACGUGGCAUAGGUUAUUCGGCUUGUUGACAGGCCCCAUACGUGGCGUUGGUUGUACCGGCGUAUGGGGAGAUUAUUUGAAAUGCAGAGAAACGAAAUAUGGUAUCGCCCAAAUGUGGAAUUGGGUUUUAGGGAAGAACUACGUGUGGCUUGAUCCCUCAAGGAGGGUACGUAGGCAGCCUAAGGUUAAUAGGUGCAGCCGCAGACUAAAUGUUAGUCAUAAUUGAUAUUUGAAUUGUUUGGUAGUUGGUUAAGAAUUAUUGGAAGGCCGAAGGCCAUUUGUGUGAAUUGCAUGAAAUUAUAUUGUGCAUGCUGCCAGUUGGGAAUAUUAAAUGCGUUUUUAUGCAGGUAUAAAUUUUAGGAAAUGUCCAAUUUAUAGGGGAGACUCUGCCGAAUUUUCGGCAGGAAGUCUCAGUUUUUAGUAUCUGGGCCUGGCAUCGGGAGGAUGUCGGGAAUUCCAAAGGGUCGUCUCGAGUUCUGAAAAAUUCGGUGCGGGUCCUUUCAAACACCUUAUAAAAUAUCCAACGCCGUGCAUCUCUGUUAAAACCAGAUCACAGCCAAACCACCAAAACCAUGCAAACCCAUAUGCUGAUCACCAUUUUUACUAGCACCCUUACCCAUUCUUUCCUCUUCAAGCUUUGGUGAGAAAACAAGAAACAAAAGUGGGCGGAUCUUCACCCACAUGGAGAAAUCCAGCUGCCUGAGGGCCCUGGAACUCCAAAAAACUUCUUACCUACAUGCUCAGGCUAGGGAAGUUUCACCAAAUAAGCAAGAAUGGAAGAAAGUGAAGGAAAAGGGGAAAGGGUGGCUUGACGAAAUUAAGGUUUUCAGCACUUAUAAAAGGAAACACUUUCUAUCCAGCAAAAACAACUCACCCUGGUUGCUGCAAGCCUCCUAGCAACCAUGAGAAUUCAUUGAAGGCAAGCAUCCCCUUUGGAACCCUUCAAUUUCAUGCUUUGUUCUUCCAUCUUCCUCCUUUCUCUCUCUCUCAAAACCCACAUCCAGAGAGAGCAAGCAUCAUCUCUCAUCUUUGGAACCCUUCGAUUUGAAGCCUUGUUCUUCCAUUGCUUCCCAUUUUCUCUUCUGUCAAAUCACCUAGGAGCUUGACGAAACUUUCGUCAAGCUGCUGGAAAUAUGGUAAAGCCACCCAUGCUUCCAUCUUCUUCCUCUCUUUCCAUAAACACACAUCCAAAGAGCAAGCUUCAUCUCUCAUCCUCUAAACCUCUGCAAUUUCAAGCCUCAUUCCUCUAUCUUCUCCCAUUUUCAGCGGUAGUGAGAAUGAUUUCUGCGUGUGCAUGGGAAGGAUUGUAACUCAGAUGAGGAGGAGAUGGUUUGGAGUGGGGUGAGGCAGUUGGAUAGAGCUCUUGGCCUUUUCAAGUUUGGAUGGGAAAGAGCAGGGAUGAAAGAAGCUUUACAACUGCAAGGGCAUAUAUGGUGCGUAGGGGCUGAAGGCAGAACACUUACAUAUAGAGGAAACACAUUUUUUGUCCAUGGGAUUCAUGUUUGACAAACACUUGUCUUAGACUAUGAGUUCAAAUUUCAAAACCUUUUUUUUUUCUUUCUGAAAUCAGGACCAGUGUGGAGAACUAGCAAGGAUUGGAGAAACAGAUUUUUGGGCGUCACUUGACCACAGAUUGUUGAUUGCUCAAAUGUGUAGAAUUGGCCAUCUUAAAUGUCAAAAUGAUUUAUCAAUUGGGGUUUUUUUAGAAACGUUUAUGUUUGUCAAUAGAGACAGAAGUCAGAGAACAUAAACCUUUCUCAGCAAAUUGAAAUUCUCAGUGCAUGCUCUGUUCUUCCAUGGCUUUCAAACCUUCUCUGCCACGGUGAAAUGGAUCGAUAGAGAUAGUUUAGGCCGUUCCAUUUGUUUGAUGAAGCAUUCGUUCUAGGGAUUCUGUAUAUUCAUAACAAAAUCACUAGAAUGAUUCUUAGAAAUUCAUCACUGCUAAAGGCAAUGGGUUCAGCAUAAUAACUUCUUAGUCUUGCUUCUUGGUCCUUUAUUUUCUUUGCAUAAUACUCCAAGUUUACCUGGGUUCUACAGAGAAAAUCUCGUAGAUACCUCUUUUUGUGGUCUUCCAUGGCAUUUAAGUGCUGCUUUCCAUGGUGAAGUGGGCCUAUAGAGACUACCUGAGGUGUGUAGGCUUUGUCAUUUCCACGCCGUAAUCGCUCAGGAACUCUGUAGAUACACCUUCAAGGGGGACAAGGGAGACAAACUAUCCAAUUCCUUGCGCCUUACAAAUAGAUCGCAUGGGUUUUCUAUUUCAUCUGCAGCUUCAUCAAUUCCUUCCAUUUUUCUCCUGAUCAUCAUGCGCGGUGAUUCAAAUAUUUCAUAAUGAACAUUGAAAUGAGAUGCUACAAGCAAACUUAUGAAAAGAAACAGAAAUACCAAAAAGACAAAUCAAUGUAGAUGGUUUAGAAAAUCUAAACAUUGCAAUUAUACUCCUUUGCCCAACUUCUAGGAGCAAACGUACACAAAGACCUUAUUGCUUCCAACUUUUCCAACAGAAUUUCAUAUGAAUUGCUCCAAGUGAAAUCCGUAUGAAAAAUCGGUAGUUGGAUUUUCAUCCUGCUUUAAUAUGAUUAUUUAACUUCUAACAAAAAAACUCUUAUUACUUGAGCAAGUAAAAUACUAUUCCAGGUUUCUCCUAGUUCUAUAUGCGCUUAUAAUUGGUAUACUCUAUAAAUACCAUAAUCUGAAUUUCUCUGUUUUGAUUACUUUAAUUUAUUACUUAUGUUUUAAUUAUUGUUUACUUAGUGAAUUAUUAGUAUUUAAGAGAAGGCCUUCCAUCGAUUAGGCACCACGUGUCUAUAAUAAGUAAAGCCGUCCGGCUAUACUUAAAAAAAAAAAAAAUUGUAGUAUAGCCGACCGGUAUAGCCGCGCGGCUAUACUAUUUAAUACAUUAUAUUUAAACGGUAUAGCCGCGCGGCUAUACUAUUUAAUAAAAUAAAAAACAAAAGAAAAAGAAAAAUUACCCUCCUAUUUCAUUAGUUUGUACUUUAUAGAUACUAGCCCCUUGACACAUGCUCACGCAUGUGCCAAUUGGUUUUCUUUUUCUUUUUUAUUUUUAUUUUUAGAAUUAAGAAAAAAUAACAGGAUAGUUAUGUUCCAUAAAAGUAGGACCUAUUAUCUUAUUUUGUUUUUAAUUUUAAUUUUUUUAAUAUUAAAAAAAUAUGAAUUUACGAUAUUAUCCUCAUUUAAUUAAUAAUUUCAAUUCUUAAUGUUUGAAUUAACAAAGGGCAUUUUCUGGUAUUUUGAAUGUUUCACCAUUCUCUGCCUUUUGCUUUAUAUAUAUAGAUUAAUUUGCCAGUUUCAAGAUAUCCAAAGUACAUAUUAGACUUUCACUAUAUAAAUUUCAAUAUAUAUUUUUUAUAACAUGUGUUGUUCUUAUUCAAUAAUAUGUGAGAAUUAUUUGUAUAAUACGUGAAUUUUGUGUGUCUUACUGAAUUUUUUUAAAUACGUGUAUUAAACGUUACAAAUACGUACAUAUAUGUACAACACGACUAUUGUAAGUUUGCUAUAUAAAAAAAAGUGAGAUGUAUCUAGAACACGAAUGUAUUAUCGAAAAAUAUAUAUGUAUGUAUAUAUAUAUAUAUAUAUGUAAAAGCCUAUAGCCUCUCACCUAUACUAUUUAUUAAAGACAAUUUAAAAAUUACAACAACAAAAAAACCAGUACAGCCACAAAGCUAUACUAUUUUAAAAAAAAAAAAUAGAAAAAAUAUCAAGUACUACACAGGGCAAAGGCCCAGUGUAAAAUAGUAUAGCCGUACGGCUAUACGUUUUUAAGAAGAAUUUAAAAAACUAAGUAUAGCUCACCGACUAUACUAUUUUUUAAUAUAAAAAAACAACCCCAUCCAUUAGGCGCCACGUGUCAACAGAAGUUUAUUUUUAAAAAAAAAAAUUAAAAGACAAGGAGUAUAGCCGGGUGGUUGUACUAUUUUUUUAUUUUAAAAAGAAGACAGUCCAUCGAUUAGGCGCCACGUGUCCAUAAUAAGUACAGCCGCUCGGCUAUAUGUUGGAUAUUUUGAAACUAGCAAAUUAAUAUCAAUAGCCGGUCGUAACCUAUGCUGUCCACGUCACUCAUGUUUUACCAGAGUUAAAGCAUCCACAAUGAGCUCCCCAAACCAUCUCUUUAGACAAAUUUUAGGGAGAAAUUGGAAAAGUACAACUCCAACCAUGCUCCCUAUCCACCAACUAAAAUAGGGAGACCUCUAGGAGCUCCUAAAUCUGAGGAGAGGGAAAGGACUCUUAGUGACUCCCUAUAAUUUAAUGUUGCUUUGUUUUAUGCAUAUUUUAAACUUUUAAUUAAAUCAAAUUAUUAUUUUAUAUUAUUUUGUAUACAGAUGGACCAAUUAUAUUAAAUUAAAAAAUAAUUAAAGUAUUUGUGACUCUCUAAACUAAGGAGUAUGAUUAGAGUUCAAAUUUUAUAAAAAGCUCUUAAAAUAGCUUUUGUGUGUUUUUAGCUAAAUUUUAACUAAAAAAUUUGAAGAUUCUUUAUUUGGGUUUCUUUCAAGACGAAAACCAUAUCCACAACAGACAUCUUUGGCUGUUCAUCACAAUUGAGAGACAAUGAAGAAGACAUAAGGGAGAGGCUGCCAAAUACUUAUCACCUUAGCCACCACCAACACCACAAGACCAAUAUGUGUAGGCCAGGAGGCUUUCCAAUUUUAAUAUAUAUAUAUAUAUAUAUUAAAAAAUAAAAUAAAAAUCAAUCUAUUAUCAUAUAUAUUAUAAAAUAAAGAUUAUUGCUCCAUCCUCCAUGCACUUGCGUGCCCUCUUACAAAGUAUGAAGUAGAUUUUGUUAGCUGGAUUUAUAAGAUCUUUUGUUUUUUGGAAAUUUUCUGAAAUAAGGAAAAUCAAGUAAAAUUAAUAAAGCAUAAAUUGGAAAGGGAAAAUAUCUAGAGGAUGCAUUGUAGGAUUGCUCAAGCCAAUAAUUGUACCCUCUAAAUAUAUAGGGACAUAUUUUUUUUGUUUUCAUGACAUGUCGUCCUAAAAUUAUUGUUCUUAGCGGGCUCUCCACCCCCUCUCGAUUGAAAACCUAUUGUGUAAAUCUUCAAUCCUGAAUUAGAAAAGUACAACUCCAACCAUGCUCCCUAUCCAUCUCCUAAAAUAGGGAUACCUCUAGGAGCUCCUAAAUCUGAGGCGAGAGAAAGGACUCUUAGUGUCUCUUUAUAAUUUAAUGUUGCUUUGUUUUAUGCAUAUUUAAACUUUUAAUUAAAUCAAAUUAUUUUUUUAUAUUAUUUUGUAUACAAAUGGACCAAUUAUAUUGAAUUAAAAAUAAAUUAAAGUAUUUAUGACUCUCUAAACUAGGGAGUAUGAUUGGAGUUCAAAUUUUAUAAAGAGCUCCUAAAAUAGCUUGUGUGUGUAGGGGUCUUUUUCUUCUGGCAACUACAGAUGGGUUGGGCUACCGUAAGGAGCAAACUGAAGAAAAUAUCCCCUGUGUCUGAGUUCAAAGAUUCGGCCCCAAAAUAUUUCGAAAAGGCAGUAAAGCCUUAGGAAACACCUUAGUUACCUUCACCAACGAAAAUGACGGCUGCUUACAGGUAGAUUCUUAGUGCUUACAGAUGAAUUCUUAGCUUAGCAUGAGGAGAUCGUGGCAUGGAAGCAAAGUUAGCAUGAGUUUAGCACUAAAGAGAAAAUUAUGUGUUCUUGGGAGGAAGAAGGGGUGUCCAGGUAAAUGGGAAAAGGUUUUGCAAGUAGAUUUGGCUAAGAGAGAAGGGAGAGAGAGAAGAGGGUGGCUAGAGUGCUUCUUCCGGCAGCUUGACAGUGACUCUGUCAAAUGUUAGAGCAAUCUGCCAUAAGAGGGAAAAUGGGGAAGAAGGAUGAACAGUGCACAAAAUUGCUAGGUUUUUGCAAGUAAGAGAGGAAGCUUGCUCUCUGGAUGUGGAUGAUCCGUUGGGUAGAAGAGGCCCCAUUUUAUAGCCGCUGGAAACUAUCAUUUCUCAAGAAACCCUAAUAGUUUCUACCCAAUUUGGUCAAGCUUUUCCCUUCCUUUCUCAUCUCCUCCCUUGACUUUUCCUAUCUUGGUGAAAUUUCCUCUGUCUAUUUGCACAAAAUCAGGAGCUCAAGGCCUCCCUUUCCCGCAACUGUUCAAUGGGAGACUCCAUUCUUAGCUAUUUUUCUUCUUCUUUCCUUCCUCCUUCCCUGACCAAAUCUGAUGAAGGAAAGCAAAUAGGUGCACACAUUGGUUUGAAGGGUGCUUCUCCUUCUAGCAGCUUACAUGCCAAUAUCCCUUGGGUCCUUGCAUGUUUUUUGCUUUGAAACUUGUUUCUUCCUUCCCGUCAACUCACGUGGUCUUCCAUGCUUCUUCAUGGCUUUAUCUUUCAGCCAAAAGAUGGAGUUUUUACUGCUUGCUACUUUUAAUUGUAUGGGUCUUCUAGGAUAGGAAGUCAACCUACCAAACAAAUGGGCCACCUUUAUCAAAUAUUGGGCUGUUGGGGUUAGUUUUAGUGGGCCAUUUUGACUGGGCUUUUUGGUUGGGUUAUUUAAGUUAUUUUCCCUUUUGUGCUCACCCAUGUAUUUAGGCCUAAGAAAUGGGCUUGGGCUCCGAGUCUCCCAAGCAACCCGGAACCUCCAUUUCUUGGCCCAUUAAUGGGCCUCAUGACAACCUAUUACCAUCCAUACCACAACCCACUCAAGCAAGCCCCGGGCAUUUGAAUGGCUUUGGCCCACUUUAGGCUUGUAGUGUGAUUGGGUGUGGCAUAACGAUUUCUCGCUUGGCAUGGCAUGUUGCUUGGCAUGUUUUUUCAUUACGAUGCUUGAUGGAUUUGUAGAGCUACCUAUUUUUAUGAUCUUAAUCUUGAUUCCUAGCAUGACAAAUUUAUUUAUUUGGCAUGGCAUGCGGAGCGUGACUUGUGCGUGGCGAGUUUUGUAUGCUCCAACUUGGGCCUUUCCUAAAUAAUGUAUCAUUUUGGGUUAUGAAUUCUUUCGGGCCCAACCGUGAAUUUUUUGGGUUUCAACAGUGUGUUUUUAGCUAAAUUUUAACUAAAAAAUAGGGAGCAUGAUUGUAGAUCAUCUUAUAUACCUUAAUUUGAAGAUUCUUUAUUUGGGUUUCUUUCAAGAUGAAAACCAUAUCCACAACUGGCAGACAUCUUUGGCUGUUCAUCACAAUUGAGAGACAAUGAAGAAGACAUAAGGGAGAGGCCGCCAAAUACUUAUCACCUCAGCCACCACCAACACCACAAGACCAAUAUGUGUAGGCCAGGGGGCUUUCCAAUUUUAAUAUAUAUAUAUGGAGUGAAAAAAAUAAAAUAAAGAUUAUUGCUCAUCCUCCAUGCACUUGCAUGCCCUCUUACAAAGUGUGAAGAAGAUUUUGUGUGCUUCAAGUCAUUGACUAGAGCUGAAACAUGGUUAGCUGGAUUUAUAAGAUCUUUUGUUUUCUGGGAAUUUUCAGAACCAAGGAAAAUCAAGUAAAAUUAAUAAAGCAAAAUGGAAAGGGAAAAGAUCUAGAGGAUGCAUUGUAGGAUUGCUCAUGCCAAUAAUUGUACCCUCUAAAUAUAUAGGGACAUAUUUUUUUUGUUUUCAUGACAUGUUGUCCUAAAAUAUUUGUUCCUAGCGGGCUCUCCACCCCCUCUCGAUUGAAAACCUAUUGUGUAAAUCUUCAAUCCUGAACGAUGCUCCUAAAACUCAAGUGUCCCAGGCCAAUUAUUGCUCUCAUACCACUUGUUGCAAUACACAUCCACUCAUUCUCAGGGAAAGAAACCCAUCGAUAUUAUCUCAAAUUUAACCACUUUAGUCUAUUAUGAUUAACUAUGUAUUUUAUGGAUCAAUGCAGUUGUGAGGUUUUAUACCCAAUUAGAUCGACCAAUACAGAGAUCACAUGUGGACUGAAAAGCGCCAUCGGUAGGGGAGUGUUUGGCACCCUUUACUGCCGAGUGCAACACAAGACCCCUUACCAGGAACUUAUCUACUAGGACACGUGAAGCCACCACAAGUAAUAUCAACAGUCCCACAUCGAAGUUUAACAUAACAUGUACACUCCCCAGGACUGAUAAAAGUGGGCACAAGUCCCAAAAAUGGGGGAACUUGGACUUUCAGCAAUUCAUCCAUUAUUAUGUCCAAAUUACUAUACACUCCGUACUUAUUCUUACUUAAGCAUUGGAGAGCCUUCGGCCGGUACCACACCAGUGCCUAAGGGCUUACCGAGCGUUCUCUAUCUUGCAUAUUGAUCGCUCUACUGAAGCCCAUAAAGAGUUAAAGGUCAAGACAUCACUAAGUUGAGCCCAAAAGUGCUGAACCACAUCAAAAAUAUGUAUAGAUUGAAAAAAUAAAAUAAAAAUCAAUCUAUUAUCAUAUAUAUUAUAAAAUAAAUAUUGGAUAAAUUACUCAAAUGGUCCUCAAACUUAUACUCGAUUUACAUUUUGGUCUCUCAAUUAAAUUAUUUGUUCAAAUGGUCCAUCAACUCUAUAUUAUUUCUGCAAAAUCUACAAAGUGGUGGGAGGCAGACCAACAAAAAAAAUUAGCGAAGGCUUAUAACUCUGGUAAAACAAGAGUUACUUGGAUAGAAUAAUGUUACGUCGUACUGAAGAUUUUUGGGUUUCUUUAAUUGGUUAAGUGAAGAUUCUUUAUUUGGGUUUCUUUCAAGAUGAAAGCCAUAUCCACAACCACAACCACAACUGGCAGACAAUCUUUGGCUGUUCAUCACAAUUGGGCGACAAUGAAGAAGACAGAAAUUGGAGUACUGUAUGUUAUCACCCACACCACAAGACCAAUAUAAGGAGGAUGGGGAGGCUGCGGAAUACUUAUCACCUUAGCCACCACCUACACCACAAGACCAAUAUGUUGUAGGCCAGGAGGCUUUCCAAUUUUAAAUUAGAUAAAUCGGAAACUGUUUCGAUAUCCAAUUGUAUUCUAUAAAAUCAAUGAACACGGUGCUUCAAGAAAGUAAUAAAAUUUCAAUAAUUCAAUUGAGUGGUCAAAUUCAAGUGAUUUUUUGUAGUGAUGAUCUUUGAAUGAGUAUCUAUAAAAGAGACGGUUUGGAUUAGUGAAAUACAAUAUGGAGUGGGCCCUACCAGCAAUCCACGACAAAAUGUCUGCAAGCUUUCGUAAUAUAAGGAGGAUGGGGAGGCUGCGCAAUACUUAUCACCUUAGCCACCACCUACACCACAAGACCAAUAUGUUGUAGGCCAGGAGGCUUUCCAAUUUUAAUAUAUAUAUAUAUAUAUAUAUAUAUAUAUAUAUAGGGAUGUGAUUUCUCUACUCCCCUUUUCUCUACUUAUACUCCCUUUUGCUUUUAAAUACUUUUUAAUCAAUUUUUUUUCCGCUUUCCUAUUAAUAUUCUACCAUUUCCCUACAUUAAUUUCUUUUUACUUCACUUUUAUAUUAGUUCUUUUUCUUUAUACUUAAUUUUUCAACUUGCACUCCAUUUUCAUUAUUUUUUUCCUAAUCGAGUAAGAAAUUAAGUUUUUUUUCCCCAUUUAAUACUGAAAAUGGAGUGUAAGUUAGAAAAUUAGGUAUAAAGAAAAAGAAAUAAUAUAAAAGUAAAGUAAAAAAGAAAUUAAUGUAGGGUAAAGGUAGAAUAGAAAAGAGAAUGAACAAAAUUGAUAAAUAAAUAAAAAAGGUUUAAAAAGCAAAAAGGAGUGUAAAUGGAGAAAAGGGGAAUGAGGAAAUCAGCUCCAUAUAUAUAUAGAUUGAAAAAAUUAAAAUUAAAAUCAAUCUAUUAUCAUAUAUAUUAUAAAAUAAAGAUUAUUGCUCCAAGGAAAUGACAUCUUUUGUUUUCUGGGAAUUUUCUGAACCAAGGAAAAUCAAAUAAAAUUAAUAAAGCAUAAAUUGGAAAGGGAAAAGAUCUAAAGGAUGCAUUGUAGGAUUGCUGAUGCCAAUAAUUGUACCCUCAAAUUAUACAUGGACAUAGGGGUGGGCAUUCAAAUAGGCAAACUAGAAAUCCGAGCUGAACCGCACCUAGGAAAACCGGAAAAAAAACCGAGUUGACCAAAAAGUCAACAACUGGUCAAAAAUCGAACCGGACCGAUUUGGACUGGUUUUGGAUUCAGUUUAUAUGCAAUGCUACAUUUUUAGUCUCAUAACUAAUAUUUAUCCAAGUUCAAUUUCAAAACAUCUUUCUUUUUUAGCUUUAAUAUUUAUUUUUAUAUGAAAUUAAAUAAUUUAUUAAUUUUCAAGUAAAUAAAAUAAAAUUUCAGUUGAAAUUUAUAUUAAAAAAAUAAUUUUAAUAAUCCAGUUCAAAACCAAACCGGACCAUCCAGCUGUGAGGUACAUUUCUCCCACAUGCCACAAUUGUAUAUUCACAAUUACGUCUGAUACAUCACAUCAUGCCACUUGCCUCAAAUGAAUUUAAGUGAGUGUGGCAGUGGAAAGUAAUUAAGCUCUAUAUUGGUGGGUGGACUGUUACUUCUGGGUUCCCCUCAUCAUUCGUCUAUAAAAUGGUGAAGGCAGUUGCUAUUGUUACCAUAAGAGCCAGCUCCGACUUCCUUUAAUUUCUUGCUUCAUAUCCACUAGCUACAUCUGUUACCAAGUUAAUUUCAGUCCUAAUGGGGUUUCAUCUCCCACUCAUCUUUGCUCUUCUCAGUGUAAGCUCUGCAAUUUGAUUAACUUUUCCAUUCUCUCUCAUUGUACUCUAUAUAAACGAAAGUUUUGUGUUCCUAUAAUUCUCUCCGAUUUUAUUUAGUACGUACUUAAGUGUCGUCCACUAAUUAAUUACACUUUGUGAUUUGAUUUUAAUUUGAGUUCGAAUUAAUGUUGCAGCUAGCAGCAGUGGCACUGGCAAACCAUGCUGCUCAACCAGCACCUCAACUUUACUGGAACUCCGUCCUGCCAAACACACAGAUGCCAAGAUCUAUCAGUGAACUUCUGCAUCCUGGUUUGUGUUGAGCUCUUUAGAAUCUUAGAUAUCUCUUCUACCUGCCAUUUUACUAAAAUAUGUUCCACCACAUAUUUAUCAGUUAACCACUGUUAUUACAUGAGUGACACAUAUUCACAAAUCGGCUGAUCACUUAUUUUCCAUUAUGACGUUGAUAUAUAAUUUGCAGACUCCACAAAUGAAGAAAAGAGCACAAAUGACGUUGGCAAACCUGAAACUUUCCCAUUGGGCAAUAAACAUUACUCCAGUCAAAAACAUUAUGGAAGAGGCAAACCUGAAACUUUCCCAUUGGGCAAUAAACAUUACUCCAGUCAAAGACAUUAUGGAAGAGGCAAACCUGAAACUUUCCCAUUGGGCAAUAAACAUUACUCCAGUCAAAGACAUUAUGGAAGAGGCAAACCUGAAACUUUCCCAUUGGGCAAUAAACAUUACUCCAGUCAAAAACAUUAUGGAAGAGGCAAACCUGAAACUUUCCCAUUGGGCAAUCAGCAUUACUCCAGUCAAAAAAAGUAUGGAAGAGGUGCUUCUCCAUCCGACAAUCAACCACCAAUUCCAUAGAAAUUCAAACACGGCUACUUUCUUGCCACGAGAAAGCGCUCAAUCGAUCCCCUUCUCCUCUAACAAACUACCAGAAAUUUUCAACCAUUUUUCAGUGAAGCCAACAUCUGAGGAAGCCAAAACAAUUAAGCAAACAAUCGAAGAGUGUGAAGCUCCAGACCUUAAGGGAGAGGAAAUAUAUUGCGCCACAUCUUUAGAAUCAAUGGUUGAUUUUAGCACUUCGAAGCUUGGAACAAGAAACGUUGAAGCAAUCUCGACGGAGGUAUUGGAAAAAGGAGCCACCAUGUCCAUCCAAAACUAUACAACAAUGCCGGGACUGAAGAAGUUGGCAGGUGACAAAGUCGUUGUGUGUCAUAAGCAGAACUAUCCCUAUGCUGUGUUUUUCUGCCAUGCAAUAAAACAUACAGCAGCUUAUGCUCUCUCCCUGAAAGGCGAUGAUGGGGAGAAGGUUAAAGCAGUAACCAUCUGCCAUCUAGACACAUCAGAAUGGGACCCAGAGCAUAUGUCCUUCAAAAUCGUCAACGUUAAGCCCGGAACCAUUCCCAUCUGCCAUUUCAUUUCCACUGAUGCUAUUGCCUGGGUUCCGAACCACAAAUCUGCAUGAUCAUCACUUAGCACUAGUACUGUGCGUAUAAUAUGCCUGUAUAAUUAUCUCCCUACUUAUUUCUGCCUGUUCAUCAUGUGGUGUAAGAUAUAUGUUGAGAUGAAGUUUUUGGGAUUAGUGGUCGAAAUUAACCCGAUCAUGUUUUCUCUUGUAACUAUAUAGACUUCAACUUGUACUCAUAAUAAAGCAUGCUAUAUUUAUGAAGAGAUAUUAAUCUUCAGGCAAAUAGAUAUUAUGAAAACAUAUAUAGCAAUUUAUCCAGAAGAAAUAUUAUGAAAUGAAAAGAAUAAAAAGUAAAAAAACAGAAGGAAAGGAAUUCGCACCUGCUAUGUAUGAAAGGACCAAGAUUGUUUUCCCUUUGGUUAAUGACUAGAAAAGCUCACUUGCAGAUUGCUUUCUCUGACCGUAGAUGCAACAGAAAUUUUCUCUUAAUAAUAGCACAAUGAUCGGGUAAUUGUAAGAACAAGUUGAUUUAAAAUUCCUUGACCCAAAAAAAAAAAAAAAAUCAUUUCAAAUUCAGGUCAACCCAUAGAUUUCUUGCCUUUUUCUUCUUCAUCACGUUGGGCUUGUCUUCUUCUUGAGGAUUGUAUAGGCCCAGGAAAUGCUUUGAGGUAGUUUUUGGCCUUGGAAGUUGGGACCCAACCCAACUUCACAAAAAGAAAACAGAUUUGCCAAAAAUCAAAUUUCAAGUCUCUCCUCAGAUCACUAAUACAGAUCAAAUUUUGGAUUUGAUGAACUAAAGUGGUUUUACUUUCUCUGUCAGUGUUUGAUGACUUAAUUUGUUAUUUACUUCUUUUUUU